This 56653-nucleotide long non-coding RNA is filed under the name Gossypium barbadense (sea-island cotton). Its description in RNAcentral is "long non-coding RNA (GBAR_LNC011405)". Lineage: Eukaryota; Viridiplantae; Streptophyta; Magnoliopsida; Malvales; Malvaceae. The record is from RNAcentral.
GGGCAAAGGGCAACAUUUAUAAGCAAAUGAAGUAAUAAGCUACAACAAAGUAGGAAGUAGCAUGGACCCAUCUUUAGUACCAAAAUCUAUGGAGCUGUUAUCUCAUCUCACCUGAUCAGUAAUGGGUCACUCUAUGAAUCGCUACUUUCAACAUUUACAAAUUAAUUCUAGCAACACUUACCAAUAAGUACAUAUACCAGCUAUUAAAUCGAACAUGAUUUGUAAUUGAAUUACGGCGCAAGAUAUGGUUCGCUCAAGGUGCCGUGAGCAUGAAAGUGUCCUCAUCUAAUAGUUUUUUCGAGAUCAAUCAAGUCUUUGUCCAAAUCUGUCGUUUCUCCUGCAAAGUUGAGAACCUUAUCGUACAAGACCUGCCAAGUUAAUGCAAAGAGAGAAUUUGUCAUAAAAACCAAACUUAGUUUUCAUGCAUGCUUUCUAAAUCUUAAUACUGAUAACCACCCAUGAGAUACCAAGGUCUUGCAGAGUCAUCUCACGAAAGCUCGAUUUCAGUGAAAAAUCUAAACAUCUCUAAUAAGACUGAGCUUUCAUGUGUCAAUAUCCUUACCAAGAGUAACAAAUAUCAAUGUAUUAGAGAGAACAUUUCAAUGACUUGAGUGUGAGUGACAGACAUGGCUUUGUUCAAUUUUUUUCUAAGAUUUUUAUAUGUUUGAAGGAUCUUACCCCAUACCUAUGUCUAUGUAUGACUCUAACGUGGGUACUUUUAGAAAAAUAAAGAGCUGGAGUAACAUAGUUUUCAAUUACCUUCUCUUGGAUCUCGGUGACAACAUUUUUCAUCCUACUAUAUUGAUCUCGACCUGCAGGAUUCUGGGCCAUGGACUUAACUCUGGCAAGUGCCUUCUGCAACCUUUCUUCAGUUUGCUUCCUGCCUUUUUUCAAGAAAUCAUAGUCAUCCUCCUUUGGGGGCACAGAUACGCUAGGACCCUUGGUGAGUGUUUCAGGUUUGAAUCCACGUAAACCACUUCCUUUCCGUCUCCAACGUAAGAUCACCUUCUCCACAAUUCCUACUGACCAGACGAUCUUCCGAUAGUUUUUCCUUACCUGGUGGCCUCUUACAUGAGCCUUUCAUAAAGUUAAACGAAACUAAAAGUUAGGGUUCAACAAUUCAACAAUUAUGAUUGUCAAGGAAAAUUAGGACUCAAUAUAAAGCAUGAAUUAUAAGAGCCAAUAAACUAAGCAGCAAUGGCAAUGGACCUGAAUCUUGACAAUGCGUUGGCGGAUUAUCAGAAACUCUUUUCUGCCCUUCCAACCACGAAACUUAUUUUGUAUGCGAAUGGCAGCAGCAUGCACGCGCUCAUCAUGUUGUCCGGGCUUGUUUGACUUGACUGCUAAAAGUGAAAGUGCACGCUCAUCUGACAUUCCAUAUUUAUCAUUACCAUACUCUUUUAACUGCCUGUUUUGGAAAGACUGUACCCUGAAGACUUGAUGGAUGCGAGCAGCAGCUUGCAUGGCAUUACGAACAGCAGCUAAUGAGUCCUUUAGUGAUGGGCCAUCAGAAGCAUCCCCAUAGUUGAGUGGAGCUGUGUUUAGCUCCAAAAUUUUCUGUAUGACAUCUGGUCUAGAAUCUGUGGUACUGGCACUGCCUUGCUUAUCCAAAUUGAGGGAUAGAAGAUGGGAACUCAAAUCACAUUCAGCAAGAUAACCAGAAAUUCCUUUAUGUCCGUUGGCUGAGGCCAGGUCAGCAGGCGUUCUGCCUAAAGGAUAUUCUGGUGUUGGAUCUGUUAAUGCUCCGGGAGCUGCAUCCAAUGAAAUAAGGGAAGCAACUGUGCGUUCUCUGAUGUUAAAGACAGUUUAUGUCAGCAGAAGCCAGACAGACCACAACAAGCACAUCAUUAUUUUAGGACCCUUAUUUUAGGAGGCCUGGAGCUCUACAGCCUAGAAUUCGCUUGUUUCGAAAAUAGGGUAGUAGGGGAAAUUAAUCAAAAAGAUGAAAAAUAAAAUAGACAGAACAUAAUUUAACUUGAUUUUCAAGAUGCUUACCUGCCAGAAGAUGCCGCCCAAUGAAGUGCAGUCCAACCAUUCACAUCCCGGAAGUUAACACUAACACCAGCAACUAUCGUUGGUUCUAAGGCCCAGUCAUAUCCAAGAGCAGAAGCAAAAUGUAUAACACCUUGGCCACCCUUGUCCAAUAUACUAGGGCCUUUUCCACCUUCCGCUAUCUUCUGCAAGAGCCAUACACGCAACUUCUCUUUCAAUAGCUUUUCAAGCAGCUGCUCCUUUAGUUUUUCUAGGAAAAAGUCUUCCUCCAAGUUAUGUGCCAACAUUUGGUCCCAUUCCUCAAUGUCCUCCUCCAGCAAUGAAUUAAUUUUACUGCUCAGCUGGGAUAUAUCAACGAUGCUAUUGGUGUUAGAAGCGGGAGAACUGGAGCCGAGGCACAAUAAUCUACCAAAUCGCAUAUCAAGAAUUUCAAUGGCAUUACUACUAGGAUUAUCAACAGUAUCUAUAUCUUGGAUAUGACUGACUCGGUAUUCAAACUCUCGGACUUCACUACAAGCUAAUCUGUUGGAGCAUGUGACAUAGAAGGGAACCCUGCCAGCCUCAUGUCUUGGAGCGUGGCAAUGAAGAACACCAUCUGCUAUGACCUCUGCUGGAACUUCUACUUCCCCAAACAUGCAUGACCACUUGCAAUUUUCGGCAUGGCCUUGACUUUUCAAGAACCUUCCUGUAAUGAGGACCUGCGUGAAAUAAAGAAAAUAGAGGGAAAGAAAAAAUGUUAACACAUGAGAAAACUAGUUGUUAACAUUCCACUACAGUGAGGAACUAAUUAUUCAGUAUUUCAGUGUCAUCAGUGAAAUGUUGAUAUUUCAAUGCUUGCUUGCCUUUCAUGGAAAAAAAUACAGCCUACCUUGAUUUCAGAGCCUACAUAUGCCCAAUUCGGUGAAAAAUCAAUAAUACUGAAAAGCUGAUCAUGCGAGAGAGAAGGACCCAACAUAAAGGUAUCUAACUGCUCUUGAGAGGGAAUAGAGGAAACAUCAAUCCCAUUUUGACCUUCCACCUCAUCCCAAUAGGCCCCAGAACUGGAAUGCGUAUGCGAUUCAUCUACAUCUCCAAGUUCUUUACUCAUCCAGCGGUUGAAACUAUCAAGCUUCUUCAGACCUUCUUCUGCUAAAGAACCAUCAAACAGAUGUGGUCUCAUAGCAGAAGAAUAAACAGAUUUCCCCUCCAGUGUCAAAUAGUUCUCUGGAUCUGGUUUAGGAACAUAUUCAUGGUCCCCUUUUGAGGGGUCUGUCAGCUGGUUAUUUAGUAGAUAAUGAUCAUGUUGCUUUUCUGGAUGCAGAUUGUGAUUAACUUCUUCAUCAAAUCUUGAAGUAAGAUCAUAUCUCAGGUCUGGAUGCAACUUCUGGUCCAAUGACCACUUCACUAAAUGAGAAGAAUCACCCUCAUAACCCUGUUUAGGGGCCAAAUUAGGACUUAAUUGGAAGAAGAAAAGGUAGAACAUACACUAUGCAUUAAACUGCAGCAAUGCAACUACAGCAUAUCAUAUAAGGUCAUAACUUUUAAAGGACCUAAAUUUUCAAUUACAGCUGGCAUGACUAAUGGCCAUUAUUAAUGCCUUUUCUUUAAAUAGUGCAAUUCAACUUUUAGCAUUUAUUAAGCUAGAAUUUUCAAAGCCGUUAUCAAAGAUAGUUAUGGCAGAGAAAAACUCAUGGUUUCAAAAACUACAAUUUGCACCUUGAAUUUACACAUGCUACAUGAGGUAAAUCACUCCAUUACCUGCCACUUUUCUUGAGCAUGUGAUUGAUCCUCAAACGCCUGCUUUUUAAGAAAGCUGUUGUCAAAUAGCAGCCCCACAGUAUCAUUUUGUUUCAAGGUAAAUGGUGGCUGAUAUUGUGCAGAUUCAACCCCACGAUCAGAGUCUUCCAACACAUCCUCCCAUGAUGUGAAAUCAAGGUUCUUCUGGGGCUCAUACGUUAUUCCAGCAUCAUUAUACUCUCUAUCCUUGUUAGUUUGAGUAAGUUGAAAAGCAGUUAGAGAUGGCUUCCCAUGAUAAUUAUCUGUUAGCAGUGAAGGCCAGUAAGCAAAAACGGAGAGGUAAAUCAACAGGAAAGAAGGGAAUAACACAAAAUCAAAGAAUUAACAUACUUGAAUGUGAUACAUGAACAUAUGGAUCAUAGAAUCUGGUAUCAGUCCUCCCUGCAACAGGCUGAUGUGAAUCAAGAAAAGAAUGGAACCGUGAACUUGCUUGAUGAUUAUACACUGCAUCAAAUAUCAUCUUCAUUGGUAAGAAUAAGACAAACUAAUGCAUUCAUUACUCACAAAACCAACAUAUUCUCAAACUACAUUAAACUAGCUACCUAAUCAUUUAUUAAAAACUGAGCCAUAUUUAGCUAAAAAUAAACAUACCUGAUUCAGCAUCUUCAUAUUCUUAUGCCUGCACAUGCACACUGUUCAUGCUUGCUGUAUCCAUAGUUUGUGAAGGAAUCUGACUAUAAUUGGGAUGAAAAUUGGAAGACAUAGAACUUUCCACCUCAGAAUUGGGUACAAUUCCUACAGCUUCUUGGUAAUAUGGAAUAGUUCCUUCAGUCUCUUUGAGAUGGUUAAAAUUUGUCCUAUUUCCCUGACAAAAUUUCAGAAAGUAAAAAAGAAAAACUAGAAAACGGCUGUUCAUGGGAACUAUUAAGAAACUUACAGAAAACACUUGAGACUCAGACAAAUAUUAAAUUCAAUUAUGUUCAGAGUUAAGAAAUGUAUAUGAAAAUCUACAAAAUUACAUUUUGUGAUGCCAAAGACCUUUAAUGUUUUAGAAGAGAUUAAGGAGCAAUGUUUUACUAUGUCUAGUGGUUCAGAAGGCAAUGCUCACAACAGGAAAAAGGGUGGGAAAAUAUAGGAAUUAGCAGCCUUUUAUCCCCUCUGAUUUCCUGUUUGCUCCCUUAAUGCUGUCUAAGAAACUUCUUUUUCCUGAUUCAGAAUAAGAUUGGGGCAAGUCGAAUAGAAUGCCUAGUCCUGGUACAACAGGGGCAAGUUCACCACCUAAUGUGAGUUCGUCCAAGUUAAUGGCACCAACAGACAGUAGAAAAUAUGAAGGAAGAAAAUGAGCAAUCAUUCAAGGUAAAGAUAGCCACACAGCUUAGAUGGAAAUAGCUCAAGUAAAUAAACGGGAGUGAGAAGACAUAGUGGACAAAGCAACAAACAAUACAAAGUUUAUACUGCUCAAGUAUAUAUACAUAUACAUAUACAUAUAUAUAAUAUUGACCAUAUAAUACAACAUCUGACCAUCAACACAGUACAAAAUACAAUACUUAUCCUUGAUUUAAGCCAAGAAAACUAUGUUCUUGGCCUGCUGAAAUUUUUGCAUGCACAAUAAAGAAACCAAGUAAAAAUGAACAUAACUGAAUGUAUUAACUUGUUUUAGAGCAUUCAGACCGUACCACUUCAAAAUGUACAAAUGAAGAGAUAAGAAAGACGUCUAUAAACAAAAAGCUGCUCCAUCAAUUUAUAUCAACUUCUUAAAACUCCUUUUUGGCCAGGUAAUAAUAUUCAGAAUUCUGUACCCAUACCAUCAUCUAAAGCUAGAAAUAUAUGGGUUUCAAUUUCUAACUUUUACCAGUCAAAGAAUCUUCUAACAAACGAAGCUAUAAAACUAUUAUAAACUUCAAAUAGUUCUUUCAAAGAUGGAAAAGCAGGUGCAGAAAGAAAAAGAAAAAGGUGAUAGAAAAAGGUCUGACCUUUACAUCUCGAUAGUGGACAAGAACAAUGUGCGAGAGAUCCCUACACAUAGCAGUGAAUUAUGUCAGCAACCAAAGAGAGAUUCCUUAAAUUAGUACUGCAGCAGAGAAACUAAUUACAGUUUCAAGCAAAAAGCACGUGCAUUUCAAACAACAAAAUAUGACCCACAUUAGCAGAAUUGAUUGCAAAAAUUAGAAAUCUCUGCCAACAUGCUAAAUAGUCUAUUAUCGUAAUGCAAAACAUACUAUAAAAAGACAAGGAAUCUUAGCUUUGGUAUUUCAUUAUGUUAACCUUAUUGAAGGUAUAAAUAUGAGUUGAUUGUUGACCAAGUUUUUUCCUAAUUUUAGAGAAGAAAAGUCGAACUGAUCAACAGAAUUUCAGACUUAACAGCCAUCUUUUCAAUGUAGAAACAAAAUAUCAGAAUUAAUAAUGCAUGUAACAUAGAAGCAUCCUAUCAUGGAAAAGAAGAGGAUAAAACCGAGUUCAGUACAGGCAUAAGCAAAAGAAAAUUUUCAAUACAGUCUAAACUGUCUUGGUGUAUCGGUUUAACUGACAUGAAAGAAAAUAAAUUCUAGGUUCAAAUUUUAGUAAUAGAAAAAUUAAUGGACGAGUGUGUAAUUUUCAGGAACAAGAAAAAAUAUGAUUGCCUUCAACUCUCAGUGUCUCCAUCACAUAAGUUUAGACUAUCAACUACAAAGUAGAGGAAGAAUUUUUUUGUAAAUCACAUCUAACUAUAAUUUCAUUGAGUGAAAUAACCAAGUAUAACUAAAGCUAAAUUUAAUUGUUGAAAUAGAAAAUGUAAUGCACACACAAUAAUGUCAAAACAAUGACCGCCACAUGGCCCAUAAACAUAUAAAGACUCACUCUUCAAGCAUCCAAUAACUGCGUCUUUGAAAAUUUUCAUUUUCUUCUCCAUGAGCAUAGUAGCAAUGCAGAACAUCAAUGCUUCCUGCCUGAAAAAAAUCAACAUCUUUCCAAUGGUUUUCACUUGAAGCAAAGAAAACUUCAUACAAAAUGUGUUCUUUCUUACCACAAAAGAAUUCAACAUAGACGACAAGAUGACACUGACUCUUACCUUGAGUCUCUCAUGAGCUUCCUUCACUGUCUUCCCAUCCUUUUUCUUCCUCCAGUUAUGUCCAUCCUUUCUAAAGUAUCUCAGUACCUUUCGAUCAAAAAGAAAAAGUGAACCACCUGAAAACAGAAACAGUUGGAUAAUUAAAUUUGGGAUGUUUGCAUAGUUUAAAUAUCAAAAUGACCUUCAAUCCAAUUUGGGAUGUUAGCAUAUUUUAAAUAUCAAAACAGCCACUAACCGAAUUCAGGAUGUUAGCAUAUUUUAAGUAUCAAACAACCAUUAAUUACUUAUCAAACAACCAUUAAUUACUAGUAGCAAACUUGUUCUGCUCAUUAUUGUAGAGGAUGAAUCUAACCCAAAAUAAGUAAUCUAAAAAAUGCACCAAGACAAGCACUGGACUGUGUGAUUUUGUAAUCAAUAAUCAGCAAGCUAUCCAUCAACCAAGGGGCUAAAUUAAUAACCCAGAAUAAUAGAGAAAUAAGAUAUCAGCAGAUUUUAGGAAAAAGUAAGCUAUUUAAAUUUAGAUAUUUAAAUUUAGAUGUCAAGUUAAUGAUGUAAUUUUACCCGCCCUGGAAUCAGAGGACUGAACGCACACACACACACACACAAAAAAAAAAAAAAGAGAGAGAGAAGAAUGGCAUUAUGAGAAAAUAAGAAAUAAUAUAGUAACAUGGUUUGUUUGAGAACAUUUUAACUAUAGUAUUUACAUCAUAAAUGGUUUUCUAUCUGAAGCAGAAUCCAAAUACAAUUCCAUUACCUAGGAAAAGGAUUAAAAGAAUUGAAAGACAGCACAUUGACGUGGAAUAUUUGAGAAAAGAAAGCUGCAAUCCCACAAGGGAAAGAUAUUGAGCAGAUAUUCAAAGAAGCAAAUGAUAAUAUUAUCCUAAAUGGCAGGAGAAAUAGAACUUCAGAAUCAAAAGAGCAAUAUUUUCAUGAUGUCAAGAUAAUUAUCAACCUAUCAUCAUCUAACAGCAUGAACCAUUACAAUGCAAUUCAAAGAUCAUACUUGGUGGCAUAUGUGCUGGUUCGGAAGAAAUGUGGAAUUUCUUAUAAUUUCUAAGAAUUUCACAUAUUUCAGCUGGUCUUAGCCACCUAUGCUGCGCUUCCAGGAGUAUUUGAUCAAUAUCUGCACCAAACAAGAUGAGAGAGUUCGCUCAAAUCUAUGCAUAUAACUUCAUAUCAAAAAGUAAAAAACCAUCAAAUUACUCAAACCCUCACAUUAACUUCGUAAUAAAAAAGAUUCUUGAUUAAUACAAAGCUCUGUGUACCAAAGAAGAAGAAAGUCAAAACAGCUUCAUUUGCCUUUUAAUUCUGACCCUAAGUCUCUCUCUUUUCAACAAAAUUAAUACCCCCUCUGCUUAACCAUUUCUCUUCUUCCGCAUAAAAGAACCCGAAUGAGAAGCCAUAGUCUCGAACAAAUUAAUUUAAAACCCACCACAGAAACUAAAGUAUAAGCAAGAGCACUACAUUUUAGUAAACCAAACCAAUAAAAAAAAGGGUGUUAAAACAUGCAAAUUUCAACAUUCACUAGAAACACAAAUAAAAGAUAAUGUAAAAAACUAGGGGGACCCCCGGGGGGGGGGGGGGGGGAAAUGAAAUAGAAUAUAGAAGAGCCAAUUAUAUAGGUACCAAGUUGAUUAGUAAGGACAUAGCGCCUAGACUCUGCCAUAAUCUUGGCUUUCUUUCUUCUUUUUCUCUGUUCAACUCACUCUCUCUCUUAGCUCAAAAUAUAAAACCCUUGAGAAAAAGCUCCUUUCCAAGGACAGAAGUUAUACUCAUUUAAGGAUCUGUUAAAAGCCCAAAACAAAACAAAAAAAAGAACGCGGUUUAUCGAGAAAAGAGAAAGUGGGUGAUCGAAGGUAACGCGCCCUUGCUAUGUAAGUUUUAAUCUCGUUUGUAAAGAAGAAUUUUAAAAUACAGAAAAUUUAUAUAUACAUAUUUACAAGAGAAAGAGGGAGGAAAUCGCCGAGGAAAUGGAUGGAAGAGGGAUUAUCACUAUCACCCAGGAUUCAACGUCGUAGACUUUCUUCGCUCCACUUUUUGACCACCCUUCUCACUUAUUGAAACAAUCUGCCUCUACCAUUAUCUUCUAUCAUUUACCCCAACUUGACUAAACUUUUCUUUUGGUGACAAGGGUACAUAAACUAUCUUUUAUCCAUUUUACACUAAUUUAUAAUUUACCCAUUAAAUAUCAUCAUUGGACGUUUAAAAUAUAAUUUUUAAUUUUUUUUCUUAUACAUUAUUUUUCUCUUUAUUUUUUUUUGUUUUCUUUUCCAUUUUCUUUCUUCUCCCUUUUAUAAUAUUUGUCAAAUACUAACAAUAUUUAUACCGAAAAUAAAAUACUAUUCAAAAUUCACUCGCUCAAAAUUAAAACACUAGCCAUUAAUUAUAUUUUCAAAUUUUACUCUCUGCUUGUUGAACCUAGCCAGAUUAAAAAAGUUCAUUCAUCAAUCAAAAUUAGUGUUUUUAAAAAUCGAACAGAUCUAUUGGACAAGAAGCUGACUCGAAUAUCAAUCUGAAGAUAAAAAUUGGCUUGGUAACUUUUCGUUUUGGGGUUUUCAUACUUGGGAUUGAAUAUUAAUUAUAUGCUGAAAUUGGAUUGAGCAUGUCACUCGGCUAAAUUGAUAAUUGGGGACUUUAUUUGUUUUUCAGCUAUAAGCCAGAUAAACAAAAAUGUUUUUCUUCAAAGGCAGUGUCAUGCAAUGAGUUUUUUUUCUAAAAGCCACUCCAGUUCUGCUAACUUAACUUAAUAAAUGAUGGUUUAAUUAGAUGAACAUUUUCCUAAAAUUAACAAAGGCAACUGCGACACACAACAGGUCUUACACUGACACACAAUAAGCUGACGCCAAGUCCCAGACAGGUCUUACACUAGCUUGUAUAUCUCGAGGCUAAUGGAUGUCCCAAACAUGUCUUACACUAGCUCUCGUCUCAAAGCCAAUGCAUGUGCCAGACAUGUCUUACACUAGCACACAUAUCACCCAAUGUCAUGGCAUGAAUAUCCAAAUCUAUUCCUAAAGUUCAACCGGGAGUCUUUACUACGUUAAUUUCUCAAUGUGCAUACUCAUAUUCACAAUCAUAACAAUUUAUGCAAUAUCAAUUCAAUCACAAAUCAUAACAAUAUAGUUGCAUUAUUAACAUACAACUUACCUCAGAUUACAAAAUGUAGGCGACUAGUCGGUUUUAAUCUACUUGCAUAGCCUUCCCUUGGUCUAGGUUCGAAUUUUGUGUUUCUUGAUCUAAAAUAAUAAAAAUUCAUCCAUUUAAUUACUAGAUAAAUUUAUACAAUCAAAAAUUCAUAUUUUUUGCAAAAUGACCAUUUUGCCCCUAAACUUUCACAAAAUGAACAUUUUAUCCCUAGGCUCGAAAAUCAAAUUUUAUCGAAUUUCUUCAUGCCUUAAUCCUAGACAAACCCUUUUUACUCUUAUAACAUCCCAAAAUUUCCAUUAUUUCACCACAUUACUAUCUAUUUUACAAUCUUUACAAAAUGAUCCUAUUAGGGUUUUCAUGAGAAGUUCUUUCACAAAAGUUGUUUAUUUCACAACCAUAACUUAUAUUAUUUCAUAAAAUUUCAGUUAACAACAUAUAUGCUUUCAUAGCAAAACCCUAGACUCUCAACCAUUUUGCAAAAUAGUCUCUUCAUUAGUUAGCUCAUGCUAUAAGGGUUCCAAAAGUACCAAAAUCAUAAAAAAUAACCAUCUAAAUCACUUACUUGAGAGAGGAAUAAAUGGCUGAAAGUUUCAAGCUCCCAUGGCUAUUUCUUGGAGGAAAAAUUGGUGGAAGAAAGAAGAGUAAAAAGAUGACAACAUUUUUCUCUUUAUUUUAUUUCUAGACAAUAUUAAGUCAUCAACUCACCUAACCAUUUGACCAAUUGAUUUAUCUUGUCCCUACGGUCGGCCAAGCUUCUUUUAAGGGUCUAAUUUCACUUUAAAGACCUCAAAUUAUGGCUCUCUAGCUAUUUAACACCUUUGGCUAGCAAAUCACAACUUUUUCCCUUUAUGCGAUUUAGUCUUUUUUUUGCAAUUAGGCUCACAAUGCUAAAAUUAAUUCACCAAAAUUUUCAUACACUCAUAUAAUCAUACUAUGACACCAAAAUAAAAAUAAUAAUAAUUUCUUGACUUCAAAAUUGUGGUCCUGAAAUCACUGUUCUGACUAAGCCCAAAAUCGGUUUGUUACAGAACUGUUGGAUCAACUAGGGUUUUGAUUUGUAGAUACUAAGAUAAGCACCAUUUGGGGAAAUGUUGGGAAAGAAUGCUCCUCGACAAGUAAAUAGAUGCAACUCUGGCACAAAAUUAGAGGGUUAGUUAGUUUCCUCCAAGGGGUCCAAUCAGAAUUAAAGUUAGACAACUAGCACUAGUUUAUGCAGCUAGGCGUCACAAGGACCAAGACACAUCCAAUGUUAAUGCGAGAACAUUUCCUAAAUCGUACUUCGCAUCGAUUAAUUCUGACUUCACUUGUUUGUUCAGUGUUAGUAGAGUUUUUAAUAAAUUUGGAAUCGAUCUAGAGGAAUCUGAUAGUAAAAUUUCUGUAAUUAGAUCUUAAAGAGAUAUUUGUUGGGAUUUAAGAGAAGCGUGUUUGGAAUUGUAUUGGAAACCAGAGUUACACAACGAAAGUGUGGCAACUCAGUUUAAAGAAAGGAGUAUAGGAUUUUGCGACUAAGAAAAAUUUCAAGAACGAAAUUUCUUUAAGGAGUGGAGAAUUGUAACAUCCCAAAAAUAGGGGGUUAGUAGAACCUGGUUUGUGAAUCGAAAGAGAGAGUGGUCAUGCCCUAAUUUUUGAGAUUAUCUGUGUAUUUUUAUGAAAUAUAUGAGGUAUUGGUUUGUUGGAUAACUGUUAGUGAAACAUUCCUUGAAACCCAAGUUUAAAUCCCUUCUCUCGCACCAUUUUCAUUAUUUUGUAAAUUUUGCAUCAAAUCCUAAUAUGUGCCAGGCCUUAUUUUAAAAAUAAAUACCGCAAAAUUAUUUCAAGAAUGAGGAAAUAGAUUAGUGGUUAAAAGAAAUAUGAGAAAGUAUGAAAAUUAAAUUAAGGUCCCAAGUUUGAAUCUUUUCCCUUACAAAAUAAUUAAAUUUUGCAAAAUCUUAUUUUUUUUUGUGUAUGCCAUCCAUACCCUCUUAGACCUAGGUAUAUAUAUUAUUUUUAGACAAAAUUAUAAACUUUUAUCUCAUGCUUCCCACCCUAGCUGUCCCUAUCCUUCUCCCCUCCUUUUCUCUUUCAAUUUUUUCUUUCUUUCUCCAUUUUUGUACGGCUCAUAGCUCUUAAUUUAUCAUCUUUUUCUUUUCUUUUUGCAACAAGAUCUUGGACCAUAUCUCCUACCACCUUGCUAUCAUUUUUCCUUAAUAUAUUUAGCCCUAAAUCUAAAAUCUUGAACCUAUAAGAUUGAUUCCUAUCGUUUCCAAGAAGUGCCAUUACCGCCAUUAGCAUCUAACUUGUGUAAGAUAUCAUUUUCUCUCAAUUUCUUGAUAAAUCUUGUUAAAAAAAAACCAAAAUUUCCAAAUAUUCAAUUUAUGGUAUUUUUAAAGAUUUAAUGUGUAACACCCCGUACCCGAGACCGUUGCCGGGGUCGGACACGAGGGGUUCACAGACUAAAUUCGCUUACUAUCGCAAUCCAUUUUAAAAUUUUCCAGGCAGUUGGCUAACUGCGACACUGUCACCUUAAAAAUCAUAUCUUGAGUUUCACAACUCGAAAAUCACUUUUGUAAUUUUUUCCUGAAACUAGACUCAUAUGCCCAUAUACAUAUUUUUUUCUAGAAUUUUUGGUCGGGCCAAUUAGUACAGUUUAUUAGUCAAAGUCUCCCAUGUUACAGGGAUCGACUACACUGACCUUUGUGCAUUACGACUUGGAUAUCUCCCUGCGCAGAGCUUCAAUACUGAUGCCGUUUGUUUCUAUAGAAACUAGACUCAGAGUGGAAUCUAUAAAUAUAUGGCAUGACUCCUAAUUAUCUCUGGUUAAUUUAUAAUGAAUUUACAAAGUCGGAACAGGGAAUCAAGAAACCGUUCUGGCCCUGUCUCACGAGAACCUGAAUAUCUCUUAACAUACUGUCUAUAUGAUCGUUUUGUUACUUUCCUAUGAAAAUAGAUUCAUCAAGGUUCGUUUACAUAAUUUAUUCACUAUUUAAUUCCAAUCCUACUAUUUUUAGUGAUUUUCCAAAUCUACAUCACUGCUGCUUCCAGCAUCUGCCUUUAAGGUAGACUUUACCUAUUUCAUAGUUUCCAUGAUUCAACUAGCCCUUUUAGCAUAAAUAGCACAAAUUAUGAUAGCGAUUAACCAUUCCAUACCAAAUGAUUAUAACAUUAUGCUGAAACAUAUAUAAGCCAUUUUCGCAUGGCUAUAUACAUUAACCAAAAUAUUCUUCCGCCACUAGUCUAUUUUAUACAUGCCAUAAGAUAAUCCAAAACAUAGCAGUACCAAACAGUGGAUAGUGAUAGUGUGACUAGUUGCUGACGAUCCCCGAGCCUGUAGCUUCGCAAUGAGAUCUAUAAAACAGAGGAAACAGAGUAAACGGAGUAAGCAUUACAAUGCUUAGUAAGUUUUAAGCAGUGUCAACAGAUAACAAUCAAAUUAUAACAUAGUUGUUCGUAUUUUUAUUUCACUCUUCCUUCGGGCAUACCAUCCCUUUACCGAAUAUGCACAUCUCAUCAUAUACAAUGGGCAGAUAAACUUUCACAUAAAAGUGAGCUCAUGUGACAUAGAUAUAUCGUAUGAUUUCACAUAACCUCUCACACUGAUCCGAUGUCACAUAAUCAUAGGAAUAGUCUCAUAGAUUGCUCUCGUAUGCAUCACAUAACUACCUUAUGAUUUAGUGCAAAUCAAGCUCACAUAUAAACUUGGAGUACAUACCUGUUUAACCUUUCGCAUUGAAUAUAUUUAUAAGUAAUUCUUAUUACGAAGUCUUACCCGGACAUAAUCUCCACACGAAGUUAUCGGGUCUUACCCGGACAAAAUCCCCACACGUAGUCAUCGGGACUUUAGAGCUCGGAUAUAGUACGAGCACGAAGCUUAAGGACAUUAAUCAGUGAUAAUAUUCUCGCAUAAAGCCUGCGGGGUUUUAACCCGGAUAUAGUACUGACACAAAUGCCCUUCGGGACUUAUCACAUUUAUACACUUUCACAUCCGUCACGUUGGCCACUCGGCCCUGUCACAUAUAUAUACACUUCCACAUUCAUCACAUCGGCCAUUAGGCCUUAUCACAUAUAUACACUUUCACAUUCAUCACAUCGGCCAUUAGGCCUUAUCACGUAUAUACACUUUCACAUUCAUCACAUCGGCCGUUUGGCCUUAUCACAUAUAUAUACACUUUCACAUUCAUCACAUCGGCCAUUAGGCCCUAUCACAUAUAUAUACACUUUCACAUUCAUCACAUCGGCCAUUAGGCCUUAUCUCAUCACAUCGGCCAUUAGGCCCUAUCACAUAUAUAUACACUUUCACAUUCAUCACAUCGGCCAUUAGGCCUUACUAUCAUUUCAUAUUCGAAUACUCAUAAACUUACAAUAUCACGAUUUAGAAUUCAAGUAUGGGUUUAAUCAAUAGCUUAUGAGCAACUAAAACAAGUUUAUCAAGGUUCACAACAUAAUCUCAAAUUCAGCACAAGCUGUUUUUCCUGAGCAAUAGUCACUAAAUUAUUUAUAACUGGAGCUACAAAACUCCAAAUCACUUUCCGUUAAUUUUUCCUGAAUAUAGACUCGUAUAUCUUCCAUCCAUAAAAUUUCCAGAAUUUUAUGUUCGGCCAAUCAAUACCAGAUUUUUCUUAAAGUUUCCCCUGUUUUACUGUUUGACUAAUCUGACCACUCUUCACUACGAAUCAAAUUUCUCAUUUUACAGAAUUCAAAAUGUGUUGUAUUUGAUUUCAUUUGAAACUAGACUCAUUAAGCUUUAAUUUCAUGUCUCAUUCAGCCUCCCACUAACACAUUAUUUUUAUUACCCAUACUCUUUUAUUCAUCUUUAAUUCAUCUAAUACAUUUUUUUAUUACAUAUUUCUCACCACUAAUAAAUAUAAUAAUAUUAACCCAUGCAUAUAAUGCCCAUACUUAUAAGCUUGGCCGGCCACUAGCAUUAAAAGUGGCAAAUUGGCAUGCAAACCCACUUAUUUGCAUCAUUCAAUAAUUAAUCACUUAAAAUAAGCCACACAUAUAUUCAAAGCUUCUCACAUAAGUCCUUUUUAUUUAGAAACACAUUCAAAUUGACAAAAAUCAAAGCAUUCAAAUUUCACACAUGCAUGAUCACAUAUUUUAGACAUAAAAUAUUAUAUUCAAUUAUUUCUGCAACUCGGUUUAGCGGUCCCGAAACCACUUCCCGACUAGGGUCAAAUUAGGGGUGUCACAACUCUUCCCCCCUUUAGGGAUUUUCGUCCCCGAAAAUUUCUACCGAUGCAUAGUUUAGGAUAACGUCCUCUUAUUGAAUUAUAUUCAUAUAAACAUUAGCUCAUCGAUGGCAAUUGUAAUUCAUUAUUGAUUUCGCAUCGAUCUAUAAAAUCAUUUUCUUAUCUUAAAACAAAUACAUAAACAUUUCUACAAGUAUGCACAUAUAUCUCAUUUUCUUGAUUUCAUAAGUAAUAAUCACUUAAUAUGCACAUAUAUCUCAUUUUCUUGAUUUCAUAAGUAAUAAUCACUUAAUUUAAUUCACAAUUGCAUCUCAAACACAUAUUAAGCACAUAUUAAUAUGUAUAAUUCACAUCAUCAACCCACAUAUUUGUAACCCACAUUUUCAUUCAUGUAUAAGCUGUAACCUGACCGAAAGUACACAUAUACUCAAACAUCCCAAUAAAUAUCCUUUAUCACUCCAUCAUAUCUCACUAUUCAACUUAACCUAUUUCCAACAGAAAAUCAACUUCCACAUACCUGAACAUUGAGUUCAUUUAGCACAUUCAAUCACCGUUAACGAUACCCUUAUACAAUCGAUUUGGCAUCAAGCCUCAUAUUGUAUACCGGCAUGGGAUUUAUUUUAGCACAUAACCCAUAUAUCCAAAAUUAUCAGCAUUCAUCACAAACUCUUACAGGCUUUCAAAUGUCAAACUUAAUCAAAAUAAUUUCUUGAAUAUGAUUAACAAAAAAAAUAGGGGUCAUUUAGCAAUAGCACAUAUGACUUCAUAUACCAAGCAUUCCAUAGACUAAAUUCAUAACACAUUUACAACAUGAAUUCAUUUCUUAACAACAUAUCCACCAUCUUUUUACUUUCAUCUGAUUUUCUCAUAUCUUUCGUACAUACCUGUGUCACUUAUUCUGAUCUUACUUAAUUUAUCAUCUUAAAUAUACCUGUUGAAUCAUUCGAAAUCAUUACGGAUACUCAUUAAGCACAUAUAGCUCUUACAAUGCCAUAUCCUAGAUAUGGUCUUACAUAUUCUCACAUAUCGAGCCGAUGCCAUGUCCCAGACAUGGUCUUACACACUAUCUCAAAUCAAUGCCUUCGUCCCAGACGAGGUCUUACAUGAAUUCCACUUCACACACUUAGUGCCCACUGACCGAUCUCGCACUCAUAGUGCUCGGUUAACGGAAUUCGCACACACACAGUGCCUCUAAUCAUUCACACACAUAGUGCUCUUAUUCAUUCGUUAUUACACAUUGAAAUGACUUAACCAAGUCUAUAAACAUCAUGUAUGUACACUUGUAAACAUAUCAUCUCAUUUAAAUUUGAAUUCGUAUAGUAAUGAACACUUAAACUUUGCUCAAAUUACCGGCACAAAGCCUACUAGGCACGAAGGCCCGAAUACACGUCACCAGCAUGAUUGCUCUUCGGGACCUAGCCCGGACAUAACACCAGCACGAAUGCUCUUCGGGGUUUAGCACGGAUAUAUCACUAGCACGAAUGCUCUUCGGAACUUAGCCCGGAUACAUCACUAGCAUGAAUGCUCUUUGGGACUUAGCCCGGAUACAUCACUAGCAUGAAUGCUUUUCGGGACUUAGCCCGGAUACAUCACUAGCAUGAAUGCUCUUCGGGACUUAGCCCGGACAUCAUUCGAAUAACCAUGCACAUUUAACAAUAAAUCAUGACACAUUCGUAUUUCAUUUUCAUUAGCAAAACUCAAACACAAGACACUUAUCACUCUUGCAAUUUCGGCUCAAUAGCCACACACAAGGAGCAUGAUUUUGAUUUUCUUAAAACAUGAUCUAAUCAAAUCAUAAUUUAAGCUCUAUUACUCAAGAACUUACCCCUUUCCGCUGUCCGAAAUCGACUCGGUAAGGUCGCACCCUUAAUAUAAAUAAUUGAUAGAAUAUAUAUAUAUAGUGGGUUCGCACACAUAGUGCUUAAUAAUCAACCACGCACACUUAGUGCCAUGUACUUUAAACUCGCACAAUUAGUGCCAUGCAUUUCAAGCCCGCACACUUAGUGCCAAUCUCACAACCGUGAACACUUAUUGCCCGCACACUUAGUGCCAAUCUCAGAACCGUGAACACUUAUUGCCCGCACACUUAGUGCCAAUCUCACAACCGUGAACACUUAUUGCCCGCACACUUAGUGCUGAAAACCAACCACUCUAUACGCUUCACUGCCUUUUUACAUUCGACAAUUUCGUCUCUACAUGCAUAUACACAUAUAGCAAUACACAUUAGUAUAUCAUUUACAUUACUUGAAUACAAACACAACAUGCUUAUCGACCAUUCAACUUCCAGUUCCAUAGCCACAUACAAAAAUCACAUUUAUAGUCAUAACACUCCUUCAAAAUUGCAUCACUUAUACCCUUAUAAUUCAAUCCAAAUCAAAAUUCAAAUACGAGUACAUGAUACGUACCUGAUCAACUUAAUAAUUUAGGCAUAUCUAAGUGAAGUUAUAUCGUAAAUUCUCAUAGUCAGAAGCUUGCUACAGCUCGAUCAGGAUCAAGAUUCAUUGCAAUACAGCAAACACAUUUUAAUAGCCAAAAAUCAUCACACUAUCAUUUUAUCACUUUAUGGCAUGUAUAAAAAGACUCACGCGUGCUACGUUAGUCCUAGAAUCGACUAAACCGUAGCUCUGAUACCAAUAAAAUUGUAACACCCCGUACCCGAGACCGUUGCCGGGGUCGGACACGAGGGGUUCACAAACUAAAUUCGCUUACUAUCGCAAUCCAUUUUAAAAUUUUCCAGGCAGUUGGCUAACUGCGAUACUGUCACCUUAAAAAUCAUAUCUUGAGUUUCACAACUCGAAAAUCAGUUUCGUAAUUUUUCCCUGAAACUAGACUCAUAUGCCCAUAUAAAUAUUUUUUUCUAGAAUUUUUGGUUAGGCCAAUUAGUCCAGUUUAUUAGUCAAAGUCACCCAUGUUACAGGGAUCGACUACACUGACCUUUGCGCAUUACAACUUGGAUAUCUCCCUACACAGAGCUUCAAUACUGAUGCCGUUUGUUUCUAUAGAAACUAGACUCAGAGAGGAAUCUAUAAAUAUAUGGCAUGACUCCUAAUUAUCUCUGGUUAAUUUAUAAUGAAUUUCCAAAGUCGGAACAAGGAAUCCAGAAACCGUUCUGGCCCUGUCUCACAAGAACCUGAAUAUCUCUUAACAUACUAUCCAUAUGAUCGUUUUGUUACUUUCCUAUGAAAAUAGAUUCAUCAAGGUUCGUUUACAUAAUUUAUUCACUAUUUAAUUCCAAUCCUACUAUUUUUAGUGAUUUUCCAAAUCUACAUCACUGCUGCUGCCAGCAUCUGCCUUUAAGGUAGACUUUACCUAUUUCAUAGUUUCCAUGAUUCAACUAGCCCUUUUAGCAUAAAUAGCACAAAUUAUGAUAGCGGUUAACCAUUCCAUACCAAAUGAUUAUAACAUUAUGCUGAAACAUAUAUAAGCCAUUUUCGCAUGGCUAUAUACAUUAACCAAAAUAUUCUUCCGCCACUAGUCUAUUUUAUACAUGCCAUAAGAUAAUCCAAAACAUAGCAGUACCAAACAGUGGAUAGUGAUAGUGUGACUAGUUGCUGACGAUCCCCGAGCCUGUAGCUUCGCAAUGAGAUCUAUAAAACAGAGGAAACAGAGUAAACGGAGUAAGCAUUACAAUGCUUAGUAAGUUUUAAGCAGUGUCAACAGAUAACAAUCAAAUUAUAACAUAGUUGUUCGUAUUUUUAUUUCACUCUUCCUUCGGGCAUACCAUCCCUUUACCGAAUAUGCACAUCUCAUCAUAUACAAUGGGCAGAUAAACUUUCACAUAAAAGUGAGCUCAUGUGACAUAGAUAUAUCGUAUGAUUUCACAUAACCUCUCACACUGAUCCGAUGUCACAUAAUCAUAGGAAUAGUCUCAUAGAUUGCUCUCGUAUGCAUCACAUAACUACCUUAUGAUUUAGUGCAAAUCAAGCUCACAUAUAAACUUGGAGUACAUACCUGUUUAACCUUUCGCAUUGAAUAUAUUUAUAAGCAAUUCUUAUUACGAAGUCUUACCCGGACAUAAUCUCCACACGAAGUUAUCGGGUCUUACCCGGACAAAAUCCUCACACGUAGUCAUCGGGUCUUUAGAGCUAGGAUAUAGUACGAGCACGAAGCUUAAGGACAUUAAUCAGUGAUAAUAUUCUCGCAUAAAGCCUGCGGGGUUUUAACCCGGAUAUAGUACUGACACAAAUGCCCUUCGGGACUUAUCACAUUUAUACACUUUCACAUCCGUCACGUUGGCCACUCGGCCCUGUCACAUAUAUAUACACUUCCACAUUCAUCACAUCGGCCAUUAGGCCUUAUCACAUAUAUACACUUUCACAUUCAUCACAUCGGCCAUUAGGCCUUAUCACGUAUAUACACUUUCACAUUCAUCACAUCGGCCGUUUGGCCUUAUCACAUAUAUAUACACUUUCACAUUCAUCACAUCGGCCAUUAGGCCCUAUCACAUUCAUCACAUCGGCCAUUAGGCCUUAUCUCAUCACAUCGGCCAUUAGGCCCUAUCACAUAUAUAUACACUUUCACAUUCAUCACAUCGGCCAUUAGGCCCUAUCACAUAUAUAUACACUUUCACAUUCAUCACAUCGGCCAUUAGGCCUUACUAUCAUUUCAUAUUCGAAUACUCAUAAACUUACAAUAUCACGAUUUAGAAUUCAAGUAUGGGUUUAAUCAAUAGCUUAUGAGCAACUAAAACAAAUUUAUCAAGGUUCACAACAUAAUCUCAAAUUCAGCACAAGCUGUUUUUCCUGAGCAAUAGUCACUAAAUUAUUUAUAACUGGAGCUAAAAAACUUCAAAUCACUUUCCGUUAAUUUUUCCUGAAUAUAGACUCGUAUAUCUUCCAUCCAUAAAAUUUCCAGAAUUUUAUGUUUGGCCAAUCAAUACCAGAUUUUUCUUAAAGUUUCCCCUGUUUCACUGUUUGACUAAUCUGACCACUCUUCACUACGAAUCAAAUUUCUCAUUUUACAGAAUUCAAAAUGUGUUGUAUUUGAUUUCAUUUGAAACUAGACUCAUUAAGCUUUAAUUUCAUGUCUCAUUCAGCUUCUAAUUCAAGUCCAUAAAUUUAUGGUGAUUUUCUAAAGUCACGUUACUGCUGCUGUCCGAAGCAGACUAUUUCAAAUUACCCUUAAAUUCCCAAGCUCAAACACUUAAGAACUUACCAUUUGAGCUUAGAACAUAUCAUGGCCACAUCUUAUCUUAUUAAAUCAACUCAUCAUGUCCUAUUAUAAUUGAAUUUACUCAACGUUUAAACACUUAAAACUUACCUCGGAUGUGGUCGAACAAUUUCGGCGGCUAUUCGAUCACUUUUUCCUUUCCCUUAUCCAACUGUGGUCCUCUAAGCUCUUGAGCUAAUUCAAACAAAUUUAACUUAUUAAAGUCUCAUUAUGCUAGCUUAUGGCCGAAUAUGACAAGGAGUUUGAUUGGUCAUAUGGCCACCUUCUAGCUCAACUACACAAUGGUCAUAUGCAUUUUUAAUCACAUCAAGCAAUUUAAUACAAUUCAUUCGAACAUCAAAAGAAAACCUCAAGGUACUUAGCCCAUAUAUACUUUAGGCAUUAGAGUCACAUAUAUAUAUAUGGAAUCAUGAAUCAAACUCAACAUUUUAGCUAAUAUUCCCCCUUGGCCGAAUUUUCUAAGCCAAGACAAAAGCAUCAAUAUGCUUGCCUCUAACCGAAUACAUGCAACACCAAUCUUCUUCCUAUGGCCGAAUAUGCAUGUCUAUGUUUAGGCCGAUUAUAUACUUAAUACCACACAUAAAUGGCAUACAUUUUACUAACUAAUGCAUUACAUAUUAUUUAACCAUGUAUAUCACCAAUCAAUUUCAUCACAAUUUCACUUAAGCCUAAUCUCAAUACAAUACAUCGUGCUCAAAUCAUUAUUCAAGUUCAAAUUCGGCCAGCACACAUAUACAUACUAGCAACUAUGUAUUAACAUUUCAUUUCAUACUAUAACCGAAUGUAUAGCUCAUCGAAAUAUAUUUAUUCAUGUUCCCUUAACACAUAUUGGUCAACUAGAUCAUACAUUAUUCUUUGGCACAUUUGGUCAUUAAAGCAAUCACCUAUUUAACUUUCAAGCAUUUUUAUACUAACAUUUCUCCCAAGGCCGAAUUUAUAUACAACCUUUAGUACUCAUUUAAAGUUUAUAUUUUAGGUAAUUAAUAUACACAAUAUUAACCAAAUAUCCAUUUACUAAGCAUUUUAACAAAUUUUCCUUCAACUAUCCACACAUUCGGCAAUCACAUAAUCAAACACUAAAUCUUAACUUCCAAGCCAAAACAACUAGCAAAUUCAACACAUCCAACAUAAAUUUCCAUGCUAAUGACAUCAACACAACUACUAAGAAUUUCAAGCUCCUUGGCCGAAUUUCAAUCUUCCAAAAUAACAAAAAUUUGAGCCAUGAAAUAGGUAGAAUUCAAACUAACCAUUCAAUUUAUGCAUGCAUUUCCAAGAGUAGCAUUGUACAUACCUUGAUCUAGCAAUCUCCUUAGCUGAAAAUUUUAACAACAAAAGGAAAUUUCUUCUCCAUCCUUUCCUAGCUACGGCAAUGGAGGAAUAAACCAACUUUGGUUUCUCCUCCCACUAACACAUUAUUUUUAUUACCCAUACUCUUUUAUUCAUCUUUAAUUCAUCUAAUACAUUUUUUAUUACAUAUUUCUCACCACUAAUAAAUAUAAUAAUAUUAACCCAUGCAUAUAAUGCCCAUACUUAUAAGCUUGGCCGGCCACUAGCAUUAAAAGUGGCAAAUUGGCAUGCAAACCCACUUAUUUGCAUCAUUCAAUAAUUAAUCACUUAAAAUAAGCCACACAUAUAUUCAAAGCUUCUCACAUAAGUCCUUUUUAUUUAGAAACACAUUCAAAUUGACAAAAAUCAAAGCAUUCAAAUUUCACACAUGCAUGAUCACAUAUUUUAGACAUAAAAUAUUAUAUUCAAUUAUUUCUGCAACUCGGUUUAGCGGUCCCGAAACCACUUCCCGACUAGGGUCAAAUUAGGGGUGUCACAUAAUGGGUAUUUUUCUAGCUGUGAAAAAAUAAAAUAAAAUAAAAUAAAGAACACACAAAGAUUUUUACGUGGAAACCCUUUUGGGGAAAACCACGGGCAGAGGAGAAGAAAAUUCACUAUGUUGAAUUCAAUUUUUUUAUACAAGAGAAAUAGACUAUGUCUAUUUAUAGGCUUGUAAAGCCAUAUUCUAGUAAGACUGAAACACCUUAUUCUAAUCAAUAUCAAAUAGAUGGUAUUUAAUAAGGUUUAAAAAACCUUAUUCUAAAAAUAAAAUAAAAGAAGUGUAAUUCUAUAUGGAUUCUUCUUUUAUUUUAUUUUACCACUGUAUUUUAUUUAAAUAAGGAUUCGGGUCACUUAAUUCUAACACUAUCUUUUUAAUUGAACUCAAAAGUGGUUUUAAAUCAGCCCAAUUUGGCCACCGUGGGUGGUGGUGCACGCACCUAUAGGCAAAAAAGGGGGUUGUAGUUUCUUUAUUUUUUCCCAUCUUUUUCCAACAUGAUAUUGGGUUCUUGAACCCCUUCUAAUCAGCCUUUAGACAUGAGUUAAUUAGGGAAAAUCAAUGUUGAUCAAUCAACAAUUCAGAUUUAACUAUUUGGGAAGCAUAAGUGUGGUUAAUAGUAAGCUAGUGAAUUGUUUCGGUUUAGUUAUUGAGAAAAGUUGUCAAUUGAUCAAAUAAGAAAUUUUUAAUCAUAGAUUAACUAGUGAUUUUUUAGUAAUUAAAUGUGUUCAGGUGCUGACUUAAAUGCCCCAAAAUCAGUAGUAAAACUGAAAGACGUUUGCGGGUACCAUUCUGCUCAAAUAAGUGUAAGAAACCCAACUAGUUUGGAUUCAAAAAAUAGUUGUAUUUAUGGAGAUUGGGUUGAAUCAAUAAGUGGGUGUUUAGGGGCUGUUUAAGAGGUGUAUUUAUUUAAUUUUAUAUUCAUUAUUAAUUUAUGUCCAUUUUAAAGUUUAUGAGAGAAACCACAAGAUUCGCUAGUGUGUUACAAAAGAGUGUAAAAUAAGGUGUGGCCCUAAACUUAAUAACUUGAUUGGUAAUAAUAAUUGUUAUGAUUUAAUUGAUGAUUUAGGUUUUUUAUUAUGUUUGGCUUAAUAGCUAUGUAAUUAAAUUUUUGAGGCCGAAUCAGGUACGUUUCAAGCCCUAACUAUUUAGCACGGUGGCAAUGUUGCUAGUUUGACUGAAUAAUUGAAUGAUUGACAUUAUCAUGAAUGUUUGGUUAAUUUGAUAAAUGAUGUUUUAUGUAUAGCAUGUUUUUGAAUGAAAAUAAGGCUUAUGCAUGAUAUAUUUGUACAAGUGAUUUGCUAUGAAAUGUUCGUAAGACCACUAAGCAUGCACACAGAAGAGUUGUGAAUGUACAUGAAAUUAUGAUUUGUGAGUGAUACCAUCCUAAUGGUAAUUUGAAAGUUGGAUCAUUGAUUCCAUAUUCUAAAAGUAUUUGAUUAUUGAGGGUAUGUUGAACAUGUCAAUUAAAUGUGAAAGUAUUGAAUUAUAUCUAUGUAUGAGAUUGUGUGAAAUAUUGCAUAUGCAUUGGGGUGGAUAAUUAUUGUGGUUGACGGAGAAGUUCCGUGGGGUUUCGGCAGCAUAUUAAGUCCGCAUUUAUAUGUAGUAAGUACACUGAACCUAGAGUACCAAAGGGACUGGCAAUUUUGUCGCAUUAUAUUUUAUUUGACAGAUUUUCUACAUAUAUGUUAUGCAAUGGUUUUUACCACAUUGAGCGUUACUCGCAUGCGUAGAGUUUGGUAGAAGGGUUCAGGGGAACACGUGGAGUGUAGCAGAUGGUUGGGGUAGGAACCUUUUUGAAUUGCACCAUGCUCACGACAUACUUGAAUGUUAUUGAUUUAUGCUACGUAUUGUAUUGUGUUGUAUUGAAUGGUAUCGAAAUUAAUGAUUGUUACUCGAAUGAAUAAUGACCCAUGCUCAUACUGUAAUAGCCCAUUUUUAGUGAAAUCGAAACAAUGGUUUUGGGACCACAAAUAUGAGGUUGAAAUAUUUAUUUUAUUAUUAUUUUGAGGUCUACAGCAUGAUAGUAUGAUUAUAUAAAAAUUUCGUUAAGAAAUUCCGACGUUUGCAUGCUUAAUUUAGUGAAAAUGACUAAAUCGCGUAAAGUGCAAAUGUGUUCUAAUAGUUAAAGGUGUCUAAUAGCUAUGGAACCUUAAAAUAGAGGUUCUUAUGUGGUGAUUAUUCCAUAAAUGAGAUAGUGGAAGGUGAUGGCUUGGUAUAAUGGAAAUUUUAAUGUUUUAAAAAGGUUAUAUUAGUAAUUUGGUAAUUAAUGAUAUAUUAAAUAAAUAAAAAAUUAAAUAACUAUUUCAGUUAUUUCUUUGUAUUUGACAUUUAUUUCUGUUUAAAUAACUAUUUGACUCACAUUGAGCUUUCAUAAGCUCACCCCCAUAAUGUUUAACUUUUCAAGGAAACCUCAAAACUAGGAUCGAACCCGGCAUUUAGAAAAUCACCUUGGACCUCGGACUAUUUUUAACAAGUCUCUACUUGUUCUAGUUUGUAAUUUUCAAUUGUUUCUGGUUUCUCGCUUGGUAACUUUUUAUACUUGGGAUUGAUUAUUAAUUAUAAGUUGAUAUUGGAUUGAGCAUGUCACUUGGCUAAAUGAGAUUUUGGUCAUUUUUUCACUGCAAGCCAGAUAAACAAAAAAAAAAUAGUUUUUCAUCACAAGGCAUUCCAUGUAUUGUAACACCCUUCACCCGUAUUUGACGCUGGAACAGGGUUACGAGGCAUUACCGGACUUACUCGUAAACAAUCAUACAAUUCUGAAUCAUAAAUUUCAACCAAAUUUAAAACCAUCUACAUUCAGUCAUAAAGUCCCUAAUACGAACCUACGAGGCCCAAAUCAUGCUUUGGAAGUGGUUCGGGAUUAAAAGGAGAACUUAUGAAAUUUUUACAAAACUUAGAAGAUUUUUGUUAUGUAUAGGGGUCACAUGCUCGUGUGGUUUGGGACACGCCCGUGUGGUCACAUACGCCUGUGUCCCUAACCCGUGUAACUCUCUGUUUUGCAAGGCAUGAACAAAUUGAAGUCACACGGCCAAGCCACACGCUCGUGUGCUAGGCCGUGUGAUUAAUUAAUUUUCAUAAAAUAGGUGUAGACUUCACACGGCCAAGACACACGCCUAUGUCCAGGGCCGUGUCCCUCACACGGCUGAGAUACACGCCCAUGUCUCUGCCCAUGUGCUCAAUUCUGAGCAUUCUGUUUCUCAAAAUUAAGGUGUAGGGGACACACGGCUAAAACACAUGCCCAUGGGGCAGGCUGUGUGUCUAUCGGUGUGGAAAAAAAUAAAGGCUAUCUACCAAACCAAUUUUCCACCUCAUUUGCACACACAUACAAAACAUCAAAUGUCACAAAUCAUAGCAUACUUAGACAACCAAAACAUCCACAAUCAAGGCUAAAACAUGUCAUUGCAAUACCUAACAUACUUACAACAUCAUACUUCACCAAUCCAAAUCAUACCAAACUCACAUUCUACAUUCUCCAAUAUGGCUAUCAUUAAUUUGCAUUGUAUCAUAUAGAUCUUCUAGCAUACCAAUAAGCCAAACUCAAUCAUUUAACAACAAAGCUAUAUAGCCAUAAGUAAGCAUAUAGUGAACCAUUACAAAACACAUAAACAAAAGGCAUUGGCACAUAUAAUUAUAUAAAUAGGCUUACAACUAUUUUAGCCAAAUAAGCCAAUUACAUGGCUAAAUACCAAAUCACCUUAAACAAAUAUAAGUUAACACAUUUGGCCAAAUUCAUAAUGACAUAUAUAACAAAAUGACCAAGUCCCUAUACAUGUCAUAUACUCAAAAUGUUUAAAAUCAUUGAUACCCAAAAUGACAGUUUGAUAGUGUGAUUCGAUCUCGGACGACCUCCAAUCCGAGCUAGCUUGGUGACACUAUAAAACAUGGAAAAAUAAAAUGGAGUAAGCUAUAUAGCUUAGUAAACUCGUAUGAAAGAAAUAAGCAAAUCUUACCAUACAUUUAACCUUCAAGUAAUGUAAUAUAAGAUAAUGUAAUUUACCAUUAUCUCAUGACCAUAAUUCAUUUCAUCACAACUUACCUUGAAAUUAUCAUUUCACGAAUUUAAUAAUCAUAAGCUUUAUGUACAUACCUGUACCAUCUCGUAAUAAUUUCAUUCUUAUUCUCAUCAUUGACAUACCCAAUGAACCACUUGGAAUAAUAAUAUCAAACACUCGGGAAACCUUGCACACAAGGUAUCAUAUAUGUAGCCAUUGUUACCUCUAUCUCGUAUCACAUAUAUGCUCGCUCUCGAGCCAUCAACGGGCUUGCUCACACAAGCUGUCAGUCAAGACGUAGCUACAGUGUGCUGUUCACAUAAACUGUCGAGUAACCAUAGCAUAUGCCGGUAUAUUCAGCCACCGGUAGGACAUAUAGGACCAGCACCCGAAUCACAUAACAUAGUACCCUAGUGACAUGUCACUUGUAUCCUAAUCUAUUCCUGAGGUUCGAUUGGGAUUUCUCACUUGCCAAAACAUCGUCGAACGUGCCCGUAGAGUCAUUCACGCAAUUCAUACAAAAUUAAAGCAUUUAAAAUACAGUUAUAAUAGAGCUUAUUUACAUACGAACCUACCUCGGUUACAAAAACGGCGAAAAGGAUCUAUUCGUCAAUUACUUUGUUUUUCCUCCGAUCUAGAUCCGAACUUCAUUUUUCUUUAUCUAUAAUACCACAUUUAACUUAUUUAAUCAUCAAGCUAUUCAAUUCAGUCCAAAAUCACAUUAUGGAAAAAUUUAUAUUUUUACCCGUAAUAUUUCAACAUUUUACAAUUUAGUCCCUAGGCUCAUAAAAUGAAUUUCUUUAAAUUUCAUCCUAACUGAAGCCUAGCUGAACUUACCCUUACUCAUAACAUCCCACAUUUUACAUUUAUUCACACUUUACAACACAUUUUUCAACACUUUACAAAUGUCCCUAUUUGACAUUUUUACUGAAAAUCACUUUACAAAUGUUUAACAAACAACAAGCAUGCAUUUUCUACCAUUAAACAUCAAAAUACAAGCAUAUUCAAAAUGGGUAAAAUUUUAGACUUUAACUUUCUUUCAAAUUAGUCCUUGAAAUAGCUAGAUCAAGUUACAACGAUUUUAAAAAUAUAAAAAUCAUUAAAAACGGGACGAGAACGGACUUACAAUCAAGCUUGAAAGCUUGGCCAAAACCCUAGCUAUGGCUUCCUCCAAAAUUUCAGCUAUGGGGGGACUAAAUUGAAGAAGAUGGACAUUUUUUAUUAGGUUAAUUUGUCUUUAUUUACCAAAUUACUAAUUUAUCCUUAAUGCAUAACUUUAAAAUUUCACCUAAUCAUGUCCAUUUUUGUCCAUCCUCAAGUAUAAUGGUCUAACUCCCUUUAAGGGCCUCCAAUUUAAAAAUUCAUAACAAUUAGAUGCCUUUAACUUAUAAAAUUCAAGUUUUGCACCAAUUGCAAUUUAGCCCUUCUAGUCAAAUUGAGCAUUCAGUCAAUAAAAUUUCUUAACCAAAUUUUCACACAAUUAUUCUAUAAUGCUGUAGACCUUAAAGAAAUAAUAAAAUAAAUAUUUCUACUUCGGAUUUGUGGUCCCGAAACUAUUGUUCUGAUUUGACCCAAAAAUGGGCUGUUACAUGUGUCUUCGAUUGUCAUCGCUCCAUCUUCUCCUCAUCAUGGACUCCUUUUUGAAAGAAAAUUACAUUUAUGCCCUAUUUUUGUUUCAGGCUUACAAGAAUGAAAAAAUAAAAAAAUAAUACUUGUAACACCCCUUACCCGAGACCGUUGCCGGAGUCGAGCACGAGGCGUUACCAGUCUUCGCUUACUAAUUCGGGGCAUAAAAAUUUGCUUUUAAAAUUAAUACAGUUUCAUUCAUUCAUUAUGUCCAUAAAAAGGGUCCAUAAGACCCUAAAACAUGAAAUUGAAACGGUUCGGGAACAAACCAGACUCAGUAAAAUUUUUUCGAUCACUUAAACAAUUCAAAACAAUUUAUUUCAUCUUUCAUAAAUAAACUGUCCAUCUGCGUCAUAGUCACUAAAUAAAUCAUAACUCGAGUUAAGAAACUCGAAAUUCAAAUCCGUAAAUUUUAUCUGAAACUAAACUCGUAUAUCUUCUUACUAAUUUUUUUUUCAAAAUUUUUGGUCAAGCCAAUUAGUACAGUUUAUUAGUUAAAGUUUCCCCUGUUUCAGUGUUUGGCUGCUCUGACCUCUGUUCACUACGAAUUAGUCUUCUCCAUAUACAGAAUUAAGAUAACCAUGCCAUAUAUUUCUCUUAAAAGCAGACUCAAUGGAAUCUAUACAUAUAAAGUAUAACUUCUAAUUAUUUUUUUACAAGUUUUAGUGAAUUUCUAAAGUCAGAACGGGGGAUUCAGAAAUUACUCUAACUCUCUCUCACCAAAAUUUAAAUAUCUCAUAAAAUACAACUCCUUUAUUUACUCUGUUUCUUUCAUAUGAAAAUAGACUCAAUAAAAUUUAAUUCUAUAUCCCAUUCAAUAUCUAAAUCCAUUUCUACUAUAUUUAGUGAUUUUUCAAAUUCACAUUAUUACUGCUGUCUGAUACUGUUUUAAAGCUAAUUUCACUUUUUUCAUGAUUUCUAUGGAAUAACUAGCAUUUAGGCAUACAUAACACCAAACAUGUCCUUGAUUAGCCAUUCCAAUAGCUAAUCAUUAUCAAUCAUUUACAUACCAUUCAUUAGCCAUAUCAUAAGAUCAUACACACAAAAUGGCUACAAUGCUAUACAUGCCAUACUCAAAAUCAAACGUCUAGCUAUACAAAAAUAAUCCUUGUGAUAGUGUUCCCGGACCUCCGAUGUACUUUAUGAUCCCCGAGUUAGCUCUACAAAACUAUAAAAAGAAGAAAAAUAAAGGGGGUAAGCAUUAAGCUUAGUAAGUUUGCAUGCAAAUAAAUAACAACAUUAAUAAGAAUUAUCUUACUACUUGGCAUGAUACUACUUAAUGUAACUUCAUUAAUUGUCAUAGACAUAUUUUAAACUUCUUCACUUACUCACUUACUUAAAUACUUACUUAAUCAAAUUUAUUAAUACAUUUUACUUACCUUUUUCCUUAUCAAGCAUACAUGAACAUUAUAUACUUACCUUUGCUCUCCUAGCAUGAACUUGUUUUACCCUUUUUAGUAUAACUCGUCUUACCUUACCUUACCUUGAUAUUCUCUUUAAAUUUUCCCGUUGAACCACUUGGAAUACUAAAGAUACACGGGUACCUUGCCAUUGCCAUGACUUGUUAUGGUCUUACGUAGUAUCCUUUUGAAACUUACCAUUGCCAUGUCUCGACAUGGUCUUACAUGGUAUCCUUGCCUUACGAACUCACUAAUGCCAUGCCUUGGCAUGGUCUUACAUGGGACCUUUGCCUUAUAGAAACUUAUCAAUGCCAUGUCCUGAAAUGGUCUUACAUGAUAUCCUUGCCUUAGAAACCUUACCAAUUGCCAUGCCUUGGCAUGGUCUUACAUGGUAUCCUUAAACCCUAAUGUCAUGACAUUUGUAUCCUACACAUUCCUAAGGUUCAACCGGGACUUUCUAAAAUUACUUCUCCGUCAAUUCAUGCUUGAGUCUCCUUUGAAUAAUUUCAUAAAAUAAAUUUACACAUGCUGAAAAUUAACAAAAUUAACAUAAAAUAAUAGAAUAUUGCAUUUAUUUACCGCAAACUUACCUCGAAACAAAAUACGAUCAACUAUAUUGAUUUAGUCCACUAUCUUUUUCUUUCCCCGGUCUAACUCUGAAUUUCGUUCUUCUUGAUCUAUAAUAACAAAUUUAGCUUAUUUAAUACUCACAUUUAUUAAAACAUUCCUUGACUCAAACUUUGGAAAAUUAUAUUUUUGCCCCUAAACUUUUACAUAUUUACACUUUUGCCCCAAGGUUCGGAAAUUAAACUUCAUCCUAUUUUCUUAUGUUUUAUGACAUGCUGAUCAUUUUUGCCUUCUAUAGAAACAUCAAAUUUUCACUCUAACAUGUACUUAUGAACAUUAGGUAUUUUUACCGAUUAUGUCGUUUUACUCGUUUUCACAUAAAAUCGCUUAGCAAAAGUUGUUUAACACAAUUUAAAGCUUCAUAUUCUACCAUAAAACAUCAAAAUAAACACACUUCUCCUAUGGGUAUUUUUCCAAAUAUAAACUCUAGGUUGAAUUAUUGCUAGAAUAAGCUUAAUCAAGUUACCGGGACUCCAAAAACAUAAGAAACAUAAAAAACGGGGCUAAAAUAGACUUACAAUCGAGCUUGGAAGCUUGAAAAACCCUAGCUAUGUCUUCCUCAUGUGAAAUUCGGCCAAGGGGUUGAAGAUGGACAAAAAUUGGCUUUUAAUUUUGUUUUUAAUUCAUUUUAAUAACUAAAUGACCAAAAUGCCCUUAAUUAAAAACUAUGGUGUUUUAUCUUCCUUUAGGUAUUUUUGUCCAAACCAGUAUAAUGGUCUAAUUACUAUCCAAGGAAAUCGACUUUAAAAACCCAUUACUCACAAGUACUUAGUACCUUUGUGUAACACCCCUAACCCUAUCCAACACCAGACAGGGCUUGAGGCAUUACCGGAACGUUACACUUUUAGUGUACUAACUCGGGUCACAAAAUUUCAUUUGAAUUUAAAACCUUUCAAUCAUGAACAUCCCGUCCCUUGUAUAGGCCUUCGAGACCUAUAACAUAUCGGAAGGCAAUGCGGGACAAUUCAGACACGUUUGAUAAAUGCUGGGCUUCUCGAAAGAUUUUCUUUAUCAUGAAAUGUCACACGCCUGUGUAGGUGGGCCGUGUGAACUCACAUGCCUGUGUAUCUUGGGGCACGCCCAUGCCCUUCUGUAACAUCUCGAAAUAGGGCCUAAAUGGAAUAGUGGUUGCGAAACCACAAAUCUGAGAUAGAAAAGUUUAUUUUGAUUAAUUUUUAUGAUUUACCAAGUGAUUAGAUGCAUGUGUUAGAGUAUUGAUAAGAAAUUUUAUAGAUUGCAUGUUUAAUUUGCCUAUUAGGGCUUAUUUGCAGAAGUUACUAUAACAGUCUGAUUUCGGGCCAAAAUGGAACGAUGGUUUUAGAACCACGAAUUCGAAGUCAAAAAAUUUAUUCCGAUUAAGUUUUAAGGUUUAUUUAUUGAUUAAAAUAUUUUGUAAAAAUAUCGUUAAGUAAUUUUACUGAUAAAAUGCUUAAUUGGACUUUUAGGACUAAAUUGCAAAAGUUGCAAAAUAUGUGUUCUAAUUCAUAAUUACUUGAUUGAAAUGGGGGUUUAAAGAGGAGGUCCUUAAAUUGUAAUUAGACCAUUAUAUUUUGUUUGGACAAAAAUGGGCAUGAAUAGGACAAAAUUUUAAAGAAAGGCCUUAAGGGCAUUUUAGUCAUUUGGUAAUUAAAAGAAAUAAAAAGGGAAAAUAAAGCCAAAAUUGACUCAUCUUUCUCAUGGAGGCCGAAAUUAGCAUGGGGGAAGCCAUGGCUAGGGUUUUCAAGCUUUCCAAGCUCAAUAGUAAGUCCGUUCUAGCCCCAUUUUUCAAGUUCUUUACGAUUUUGGAAUCCCGAUAACUUGAUUAAGCUUAUUCUAGCAAUAAUUUAAGCUAGGGUUCAUAUUUGGAAAAAUACCCAUAGGUGAAAUGUGUUUAUUUUGAUGUUUUAUGGUAGAAUAUGAAGGCUGAAAUUAUGUUAAACAACUUCUGCUAAGUGGUUUUAAGCAAAAAUGAGUAAAACGACUUAAUCGGUAAAAGUUGUUAUUGCUCAUAACUAUGUGUUAGAGUGAGAAUUUGAUGUUGCCAUAGAAGGGAAAAAUUAUCAUCAUGUCAUAAAAACAUAAGAAUAAGGGAUGAAGUUUAAUUCUCGAGCCUAGGGGCAAGAGUGUAAAUACGCAAAAGUUUAGGGGUAAAAUUGUAAUUUUUCCAAAGUUUGAGUUAAGGAUUAUUUUGAAUAGUACAUUAAGUAAAUAAGUAAAAUAUGAUGUUUUAGAUCCUGGAAAAUGAGAUUUGAAUCUAGAAUGGGAGAAAAAUCGAAAAUCGAGAAAGUUGGUAAAAUGGCCGUUUUAGUAUCGAGGUAAGUUCAUAUGUAUAAUAAGCAUUAAUUUAUGCAUGUUUCAAUGUAAAAUUGAUAUAUUUACUAUGAUUGCCGAGGUGUUGAAAGUAAGUAUAAUUAUGAUGAUUUAAAUGUUCAAUAUUUAUUCGACAUGGAAACGAGAAAGUAUGCAAGUUUGUAUGUAAAUAAUACAUUAUCUUUAUUAUGUUUUUGUAUUUCAGAAUAUUUUAUGUAUUGUAGCUGAUUUUUGAAUCAUAAUUGACUAUUGAAAGUAUGGAAUCAAGUAUUAGAAAGAGAGAGAAACCCCGGUUGAACCUUCAGAAAGAUUGGAUGAUACAGAUGGUAUGUAGCUAGGUCACAUGUAUGGUGCUAAGUGCACAUCAUGUGUAUAAGAGAGCUACGAGACAUUAUGAUGUAGCUAGGUUGCAUGGGUGACACUAUGUGUACACCAUGUAGACAAGAGAGCUACGGGAUAUAUGUAGCUAGGUCGCAUGCGUGGUUCCAGGUGAAGGACACGAUGUAGACAAGAGAGCUACGAGAUAAACUGGCUAGGUCACAUGGGUGGUACUAAGUGUUCACCAUGUGUACAAGAGAGCCAAAAUUAUGUGUGUAACACCCUGAACCCGAGACCGUCGCCGGAGUCGAACACAAGGUGUUAACAGACUUCAAAACACUUAUUUGACAUUUCCCAGACAAGCUGCCAAUCUGCGUACUAGUCGCUUUAAAAAAUCAUAUCUUGAGUUCUGAAACUCGAAAUCCAGUUCCGUAAAUUUUCCCUGGAACUAGACUCAUAUACCUAUAUGGUAGAAUUUUUGUAGAAUUUUUGGUCGGGCCAAUUAGUACAGUUUAUUAGUUAAAUUCUCCCCUAUUACAGGGUACGACUACACUGACCUUCAUGCAUUACGAUUUAGAUAACUCCCUGCACAGAGCUUCAAUACUGAUGCCGUUUGUUUCUAUAGAAACUAGACUCAGAAAGGAAUCUAUACAUAUAUUGCAUGACUCCUAAUUAUCUCUGGUUAAUUUAUAAUGAAUUUCCAAAGUCGGAACAGGGAACCCAGAAACCGUUCUGGCCCUGUCUCACGAGAACCUGAAUAUCUCUUAACAUACUGUCCAUAUGAUCGUUUCGUUACUUCUAUAUGAAAAUAGACUCAUCGAGAUUAGAUUACAUAAUUUAUUCACUAUUUAAUUCCAUUCCUACUAAGUUUUGUAAUUUUUCAAUCCCACGUCACUGCUGCUGCCAGCAUCUGUUACUGAAGCAACUAUGCCCAUUUCGUGAUUUCUCAUUGAUCUAACUAAUAAUUCAUCACACAUAUCACAAAAUUUUAAUCAUGACUAGCCAUACCAAAGGCUAAUCAUUUUCAAACAUCUCCCUACUACACUAUUGCCAUAUCAUGAAUCUUAACACCAAAAUUAAUCAGCCAUGACAUAUGGCAUAAAAAUCGAAUUACCAAGACUUACGACCUAACGUUAUAAAACCACAUCCAACCGAACAUUUAUGCCAUUUUCGCAUGGCUAAAAGUUUACAUACCAAAGUUCAAACACAACAUAAUAGCCUAUACAUGCCGAAAUGUUCUCCUAAGCCGACUAAGAAGAAAGUACCAAAACUUGCUAGCUGGUGUGAUGACUUCGAUGACGACCCGAUCACGCAAAAAGAGACGAGUCCAAGAAACCUAGAAUAGGUGACAAGGAAACACCGAGUGAGUAUAUAACUCAGUAAGUCAUAAGCAAUGCACUACCAUCCAUUAAUAACAUUAUCACAAGAGGGAACAAAAUGGAACGAGGCUAGUUACUCCAUCCAUACCGAACCAUACCAUAGUUCCUUAGACCUAUCGGUUCAAUCUCAUACCAAGUCAUGCAUUCACAUUCCAUAUACUAAUCAAUAGGAUAUUUGAGGCAUUUUCAUACAUCAUUUUAUUUUCGUUACAAUCAUACAACUAAACGACCUUUCACCUAUUCCACGAUAAAUCUUAUGUACGUGACUUCAAUUAUAAAUGUCACAUAGGUUCAAACUUACCAAGCUCAACUCCAAAUAUAAUCAUAGCGCCUAUUAGCCUUGAACUCAAGGCACUUACCCGAUCUGCUGUUCGUGAUCAACUCAAUAAUGUCGCACACUUAGUGUCCAUAGUGAUUCAAAAAUAUAUAUAUAAGUCCGCACACUCAGUGCUAUAUAAUCAACUCGUACACUUAGUGCUAUAUAAUCAAACUCGCACACUUAGUGCUAUAUAAUCAAACUCGCACACUUAGUGCUAUAUAAUCAAACUCGCACACUUAGUGCUGUACAAUUUAAACCCGCACACUUAGUGCCAAUCUCAUGAUCAUAAAUGUUUACACCCGCACACUUAGUGCCGAAACCAACAACUCAAUACAUCUCACCUCUUUUUUUUUUUUUAAUACUUUCAUCACCCCAUGCAUACAUGCAUAUAUAUAUUUAUCAUUCCAUUCAGCAUCAUUACAUAGACGUUAUGACCAUUUAAAUUAAUACAACAUAUAUGCUUAAUGACUUACCUUGUGUUGGGUAAGACGGUUCCAACUCGGCUACUCGAUGAUCUUUUCUUUGCCUUUGCUUGAUUCUCCUCCUUUAACUCCUUGAGCUUAAUCAAUAAAUCAACUAGUUUAACCAUCUUGCUAAACAUUCAUAAUUCAAUUACACAUGCAUAUGUAUGUUUGUAUAUUCGGCAACCAUCCUCACUAAUUACCCAUUUAGUCGAUUAUACACAUAAUUAAAGGUAACAUCACGAAUGGGCAUACUUAUGUAUAUAUAUAUGUAUAUAUAUACUUCGGAAUGGGCAUCACAAUUAGAUUUAACACCACCUUCAUGCUCAAUUAGAUGGCCGAAUGUAUGUAUAUAUGUACAAUGUCAACUAUAACAUCAUUUAAACACCUAAUUUCAUCUCAUGAACACUUGAUCGAAUUUUCCUAAUCUAGCAUAUUUUCACUUCUAUUUGUAACAUCAUGUAAAUCCACAUAUAACUACAUUUCUUAAGUUCCACAUCUUAAUGCCCAUUAUAGCCACUCCCAUAGUCUAAAUCUAACAAUCGGCAACACCCACCUUUCCACUAUGUUAGCCGAAUACUCAUUCUCUUUUUAGUCCUAAAUUUGGCACCUCCAACAAAAUAGCUUAACAAUAUCAACUUUCAUGCUAACAUAACAAGCAACUUAACACAUCCAUAUAACUAGCAUGCUAAUAGCAUCAAGGUAUCAACUAAAAUUUUUUUAAGCUCCUUAGCUGAAUCCUAACUCUCCAACAACCCCAAAUCCAACCAUGGGAUAGAUAGAGUUUAGACUCAUCACCCAAAGGUUGUGUAAACUUCCAAAAAUAUCAUUGAACAUACCUUGAUCUAAAGGACCACCUUGGCCGAUCUUGCUUCCUCUUCUUCCUCUAGUUACGACAAUUGCAAAAGAAAGAAAACAUGAACACUCCUUCUAGAUACAAGCAAUGGCCGAACUUCUUCAAAACUUUUUCUCCCUUUCUUUUUCUUGGUUUUUCGGCUAGAAGAUGGCAAGUAUGAACACCCCUUUUUCUUUUUCUUUUUUUUUGUUCACUUUCCUAUUAUUAUUCCCAUCAUUUGUUAACCAAAAAAACAUAUUAAAUUAGAAUGAGUGGAGCAUCAUCACUCCUUGGCCGGCCACCAUGUAUUUUAUGGGUAAUUUGACAUGCAAAGCCAUGCUUCCUCUCCCUAUUAUUAAUUACUCCUUAUAAUUCAUCUAUCAUCUUUUCUAACUUCGUCAACUAGGUCCUUUUCGAAUUAAUUUACAUUCCUAAAGCUAAUAUUAAGCAUUUAAUUUCUCAUAUAUUCACUGUCACACAAAAAUUUAUGUAAUUAAAACACAAAAAUAAAUUUUUGGCUCGGUAAUGUGGUCUCGAAACCACAUUCCGACCAGGGUCUAAUUUGGGUUGUCACAACUCUCCCCCACAUAAGAAAUUUUCGUCCCCGAAAAUCUUACCGGUAAAUAAUUUUGGAUAUCGAUCCUUCAUAGAGUCCUCAAGUUCCCAAGUGGCUUCUUCAAUUCCGUGUUUAUGCCACAGUACCUUCACUAAUGAGAUUUUCCUAUUUCGUAGUUCUUUUACUUCACGUGCUAAAAUACGAACUGGUUCUUCUUCGUAACUCAAAUUAGAUUGAAUCUCGAUCUCCGAUGGAGGAAUUACGUGCGAUGGAUCGGACCUAUAUCGUCGAAGCAUCGAGACAUGAAAAACGUUGUGAAUCUUUUCGAGCUCAGGGGGCAAAAUUAAUCGGUAUGCAACUGGUCCAACUCGUUCGGAUACUUCAUACGGACCGAUGAACCUCGGACUUAGUUUGCCCUUACGACCAAAUCUAAGCACCUUCUUCCAGGGUGAAACUUUGAGGAAUACUUUGUCUCCGACCUGAUAUUCAAUGUCUUUUCUUUUCAAAUCCGCAUACGACUUUUGACGAUCCGAAGCGGCUUUCAAACUUUCGCGAAUUACUCGGACUUUCUGCUCGGCAUCCUUAAUCAAAUCAACCCCAAGGAUCCUACUUUCACUAAGUUCAGUCCAAAAUAAUAGGGUACGGCAUUUAUGACCGUAUAAAGCCUCGUAAGGUGCCAUCUUAAUGCUUGACUGAAAACUAUUGUUGUAAGCGAAUUCGAUCAAAGGCAGAUAUCUUUCCCAUGAACCACAAAACUCUAAAACACAACAUCUCAACAUAUCCUCGAGUAUUUGAAUUAUCCGCUCAGAUUGGCCAUCGGUCUGAGGAUGGAAUGCGGUGCUAAAGUGCAUCUUGGUACCCAAUGCUUCUUGUAAUUUCUUCCAAAAUCGCGAGGUAAAUCUUGGGUCUCUAUCCGACACGAUGGAAAUAGGUACCCCAUGCAACCGAACUAUUUGGGAGACAUAUAAUUCUGCCAAUUUAUCGAGCGAAAAAUCCGUACGGACAGGGAUAAAAUGAGCAAACUUGGUCAAUCUAUCAACAAUGACCUAGACCGAGUCCUUCUUACUCUGAGUCAAAGGCAACCCAGAUACAAAGUCCAUUGUCACUCGAUCCCAUUUCCAUUCGGGUAUCAUGAUCGGCUGAAGUAAUCCAGAUGGCACUUGAUGUUCUGCUUUUACUUGUUGACAUAUCAAACACCUUGAAACAAAGUCGGAGAUGUCCCGUUUCAUACCAUGCCACCAAAAUCGACGUUUCAAAUCGUUGUACAUUUUCGUACUCCCCGGGUGAAUUGACAUUCGGCUACAAUGGGCUUCGUUCAGAAUCAUCGAAAUGAGUUUUGAAUUCCUUGGAACACACAAACGACUUCUGAAUCUCAAACAAUCGUCAUCAUCAAUUUGAAAUUCGGAUUCCACAUUCGAAACACAUUCAGCUCGUUUUGCAACCAAUUCAUCAUCGACUUUCUAAGCUUCACGAAUUUGAUGAGUCAAUAAUGGUUUGGCUUUUAAUUCAGCUACUAACACAUUGUCGGGUAGAACAGACAAGUGUACAUUCAUCGCUCGCAAAGCAAAUAGUGAUUUCCGGCUUAAGGCGUCCGCAACCACAUUAGCCUUUCCCGGGUGAUAAUUAAUGACCAGCUCAUAAUCUUUCAACAACUCAAGCCAACGCCUUUGUCGCAGAUUCAAGUCUCGCUGGGUCAUCAAAUAUUUAAGACUUUUGUGAUCCGAAAAUACAUGGCACUUCUCACCAAACAAAUAAUGUCGCCAUAUUUUCAAAGCAAAUACGAUGGCAGCUAGUUCGAGAUCAUGGGUCGGAUAAUUUCUCUCGUGUGGCUUCAAUUGUCUCGACGCAUAGGCCACAACUCGACCUUCUUGCAUCAAUACGCAACCCAACCCAAGUAGGGAUGCGUCACUAUAAAAGACAAACUCUUUGCCUGAUUCGGGUUGCACUAAAAUUGGAGCUUCAGUCAAAUAAGCUUUCAGUUGAUCGAAACUUUUCUGACAUUUCUCCGUCCAUUCGAACUUAACAUCCUUUUGAAGUAGCUUCGUCAUUGGUGUGGCUAUCAUCGAGAAACCUUUUACAAAUCGUCGGUAAUAACUGACGAGUCCCAAAAAGCUCCGAACCUCAGUAAUAUUUCUCGGAGGUUUCCAGUUAAGUAUGGCUGAAAUUUUGUUCGGGUCAACUCGAAUACCCGAUGCGGAUACCACAUGACCCAAGAAGCUAACCUCUCUUAACCAGAACUCACACUUACUGAACUUAGCAUAUAACUGCUUAUCCCGCAAAAUUUACAACACUAGUCUCAGGUGCUCAGCAUGUUCGGUCUCAUCUCUUGAAUAGACCAAGAUGUCAUCAAUGAACACAACUACGAACCGAUCCAAAUAUGGUCUGAAGAUCCGAUUCAUCAAAUCCAUAAAUAUCGUAGGGGCAUUAGUGAGCCCAAACGGCAUCACUAAGAAUUCGUAGUGACCGUACCUCGUUCUGAAAGCAGUUUUGGGUACGUCCGAAUCUCGAAUCCGCAACUGAUAAUAACCCGAUCUCAAAUCUAUCUCUGAAAACACUGAGGCUCCCUUUAAUUGAUCAAACAAAUCAUCAAUACGCGGUAACGGAUAUUUAUUCUUUAUCGUCACUUUAUUCAGUUGACGAUAGUCAAUGCACAACCUCAUGGUUUCGUCCUUCUUUUUCACGAACAAUACUGGUGCACCCCAAGGUGAGAAGCUUGGUCGAGCGAAACCUCUAUCCGUCAACUCUUGCAAUUGAGCUUUCAAUUCCUUUAACUCGGUUGGUUCCAUACGAUACGAAGCUAUCGAAAUUGGCGUAGUUCCAGGUACAAGCUCAAUACCAAACUCUACCUCCCGAACAGGUGGUAAACCCGGUAAUUCUUCAGGAAAAACAUCUGGGUAUUCACAAACCACCGGUACAGAUUCGGGUUUCUUUUCUAAUUCUUUGUCAUCAAGUACAUACGCAAGGUAUGCUUCGCACCCUUUUCUUACAUAUUUCUGGGCCAACAUUGCUGAUAUUACAGCUGGCAACCCCCUUAAGUCCGUAGACUCAACUCGGAUUAUCUCGUUAUUUGCGCACCUCAAAUCAAUAGUCUUGCUUUUGCAAUUCACAACCGCAUCAUGCGCGGUCAACCAAUCCAAACCAAGAAUAACAUCAAAUUCAUCAAACGACAAAAGCAUCAAGUCCGCCAGAAAACAGGAAUCUCGAAUUACUAGGGGGCAUUUCUUACACACUUUGUCGACAAGCACGUAACGACCCAAGGGAUUUGACACCCGAAUUACGAACUCAGUAGACUCAACAGGUAGAGUCUUACUGGAUGCUAAGGUUUCACAUACAUAUGAAUGAGUAGAGCCAGGGUCAAUCAAUGCAAUCACAUUAGUAUCAAAGAGAGUGAAGGUACCAGUGAUGACGUCAGGGGAGGAUGCCUCCUCUCGUGCGCGAAUGGCAUAUGCUCUAGCAGGAGUACGGUUCUCGGCUCGAACAGCCGUAUCAGAGACCCCUCUCUGACUACCACCCCUACCUCCUAAAAUUCUCGGUGGUCUACCUCUAGUUGUCACUCCACUAGGUCUUGCACCUUGAAUCUUAUUCUUCUCAUCAAGCUCCGUGCAAUCUCUAAUGAAGUGGACCUUCGAACCGCAUCCGUAACAGGCCCUGUUAGUAGACUUACCCCAACAUUCACCUAGGUGUCGUCUUCCACAUUGGGGACAUUCAGGUUUCUCUUGAUGAUUAUUGCCCACACUAGCUACCGAAGUAGCUCGGGAGUCCGUCAGUGGUCGUGCUCUGAUGGAAAUUCCCGCAGUCGUCCUCGACUUAUUAGUGUCCUCCCUAAACUUCUUUACAGCUGAGAACAGAGCUUUACCCGUCGAUCUUUUUCAAUAGUCUCUAGCUUCAAAUUCAGCCUUCUUCCUUUCCUUUCCAAGUUCUUCUGCCUUGCAGGCUCGUUCGACUAGUGUUACGAAUUCUUUUAUCUCCAAAAUACCCACUAGUAGCUUUAAAUCUUCAUUCAAUCCUUCUUCGAAUCUCUUGCACAUAGCAACCUCAUCAGCUACACACUCCCGGGCAUACCUACUGAGUCUUACGAAUUCAUGUUCGUAUUCAGAUAUUGUCAUACGGCCUUGCUUGAGUUCCAAGAAUUCCUUGCGCUUUUGAUCAAUGAACCGUUGACUAAUAUAUUUCUUUCGGAAUUCCGUUUGAAAGAAGUCCCAAGUAACUCGUUCGUUUGGGACUAUGGAAAUCAGGGUCCUCCACCAAUAGUAGGCUGAGUCCCGCAACAAGGAUAUAGCACACUUUAGACAUUCAUCGGGCGUGCAUGACAGUUCAUCAAACACCCGAAUGGUGUUAUCAAGCCAGAACUCGGCCCUUUCAGCAUCAUCAGUAACUAUGGCCCUAAACUCCUCGGCCCCGCGCUUCCUAAUCAAGUCUACAGGUGGCUUACUCAGCCUCACAGGAUCAAUAACUGAUGGCAUUACGGGCUCAUGGGGUGGAUUAUUCAAAUUCGGGAAUUGUUGGACAGCCGGAUUGGUUCGGGCAUAUUGCGCGACCCACUCAUUCAUCAUGGUAAAGAAGGCUUGUUUAGCCCUCUCACCUUGAUUAUUCGCAGAUGACUGAGGUUCAACAGGCGGUGUCCCUUGUGCAGGAGCAGCCGCUACACUUUCAACGUCAUCCGCUAAGGUUCUUUCUACACCGGGGUCCAUUUACUAAUCAAAACAAAAAAAAUUUUAACCGUCAGAAGUCAUCACACAUUUAAACAUUAACAUUAAGGCAUGUAUAGCUAGACUCAUACGCGCUAUGGUAGUCCUAGAACCGACUAAACCAUAGCUCUGAUACCAAUAAAAUUGUAACACCCCGAACCCGAGACCGUCGCCGGAGUCGAACACAAGGUGUUAACAGACUUCAAAACACUUAUUUGACAUUUCCCAGACAAGCUGCCAAUCUGCGUACUAGUCGAUUUAAAAAAUCAUAUCUUGAGUUCUGAAACUCGAAAUCCAGUUCUGUAAAUUUUCCCUGGAACUAGACUCAUAUAUCUAUAUGGUAGAAUUUUUGUAGAAUUUUUGGUCAGGCCAAUUAGUACAGCUUAUUAGUUAAAUUCUCCCCUAUUACAGGGUGUGACUACACUGACCUUCAUGCAUUACGAUUUAGAUAACUACCUGCACAGAGCUUCAAUACUGAUGCCGUUUGUUUUUAUAGAAACUAGACUCAGAGAGGAAUCUAUACAUAUAUGGCAUGACUCCUAAUUAUCUCUGGUUAAUUUAUAAUGAAUUUCCAAAGUCGGAACAGGGAACCCAGAAACCGUUCUGGCCCUGUCUCACGAGAACCUGAAUAUCUCUUAACAUACUGUCCAUAUGAUCGUUUCGUUACUUCUAUAUGAAAAUAGACUCAUCGAGCUUCGAUUACAUAAUUUAUUCACUAUUUAAUUCCAUUCCUACUAAUUUAUGUAAUUUUUCAAUCCCACGUCACUGCUGCUGCCAGCAUCUGUUACUGAAGCAACUAUGCCCAUUUCGUGAUUUCUCAUUGAUCUAACUAAUAAUUCAUCACACAUAUCACAAAAUUUUAAUCAUGACUAGCCAUACCAAAGGCUAAUCAUUGUCAAAUAUCUCCCUACUACACUAUUGCCAUAUCAUGAAUCUUAACACCAAAAUUAAUCAGCCAUGACAUAUGGCAUAAAAAUCGAAUUACCAAGACUUACGACCUAACGUUAUAAAACCACAUCCAACCGAACAUUUAUGCCAUUUUCGCAUGGCUAAAAGUUUACAUACCAAAGUUCAAACACAACAUAAUAGCCUAUACAUGCCGAAAUGUUCUCCUAAGCCGACUAAGAAGAAAGUGCCAAAACUUGCUAGCUGGUGUGAUGACUUCGAUGACGGCCCGAUCACGCAAAAAGAGACGAGUCCAAGAAACCUAGAAUAGGUGACAAGGAAACACCGAGUGAGUAUAUAACUCAGUAAGUCAUAAGCAAUGCACUACCAUCCAUUAAUAACAUUAUCACAAGAGGGAACAAAAUGGAACGAGGCUAGUUACUCCAUCCAUACCGAACCAUACCAUAGUUCCUUAGACCUAUCGGUUCAAUCUCAUACCAAGUCAUGCAUUCACAUUCCAUAUACUAAUCAAUAGGAUAUUUGAGGCAUUUUCAUACAUCAUUUUAUUUUCGUUACAAUCAUACAACUAAACGACCUUUCACCUAUUCCACGAUAAAUCUUAUGUACGUGACUUCAAUUAUAAAUGUCACAUAGGUUCAAACUUACCAAGCUCAACUCCAAAUAUAAUCAUAGCGCCUAUUAGCCUUGAACUCAAGGCACUUACCCGAUCUGCUGUUCGUGAUCAACUCAAUAAUGUCGCACACUUAGUGUCCAUAGUGAUUCAAAAAUAUAUAUAUAAGUCCGCACACUCAGUGCUAUAUAAUCAACUCGUACACUUAGUGCUAUAUAAUCAAACUCGCACACUUAGUGCUAUAUAAUCAAACUCGCACACUUAGUGCUAUAUAAUCAAACUCACACACUUAGUGCUGUACAAUUUAAACCCGCACACUUAGUGCCAAUCUCAUGAUCAUAAAUGUUUACACCCGCACACUUAGUGCCGAAACCAACAACUCAAUACAUCUCACCUCUUUUCUUUUUUUUUUUUCAAUACUUUCAUCACCCCAUGCAUACAUGUAUAUAUAUAUAUUUAUCAUUCCAUUCAGCAUCAUUACAUAAACGUUAUGACCAUUUAAAUUAAUACAACAUAUAUGCUUAAUGACUUACCUUGUGUUGGGUAAGACAGUUCCAACUCGGCUACUCGAUGAUCUUUUCUUUGCAUUUGCUUGAUUCUCCUCCUUUAACUCCUUGAGCUUAAUCAAUAAAUCAACUAGUUUAACCAUCUUGCUAAACAUUCAUAAUUCAAUUACACAUGCAUAUGUAUGUUUGUAUAUUCGGCAACCAUCCUCACUAAUUACCCAUUUAGUCAAUUAUACGCAUAAUUAAAGGUAACAUCACGAAUGGGCAUACUUAUGUAUAUAUAUAUGUAUAUAUAUAUACUUCGGAAUGGGCAUCACAAUUAGAUUUAACACCACCUUCAUGCUCAAUUAGAUGGCCGAAUGUAUGUAUAUAUGUACAAUGUCAACUAUAACAUCAUUUAAACACCUAAUUUCAUCUCAUGAACACUUGAUCGAAUUUUCCUAAUCUAGCAUAUUUUCACUUCUAUUUGUAACAUCAUGUAAAUCCACAUAUAAUUACAUUUCUUAAGUUCCACAUCUUAAUGCCCAUUAUAGCCACUCCCAUAGUCUAAAUCUAACAAUCGGCAACACCCACCUUUCCACUAUGUUAGCCGAAUACUCAUUCUCUUCUUAGUCCUAAAUUUGGCACCUCCAACAAAAUAGCUUAACAAUAUCAACUUUCAUGCUAACAUAACAAGCAACUUAACACAUCCAUAUAACUAGCAUGCUAAUAGCAUCAAGGUAUCAACUAAAAUUUUUUUAAGCUCCUUAGCUGAAUCCUAACUCUCCAACAACCCCAAAUCCAACCAUGGGAUAGAUAGAGUUUAGACUCAUCACCCAAAGGUUGUGUAAACUUCCAAAAAUAUCAUUGAACAUACCUUGAUCUAAAGGACCACCUUGGCCGAUCUUGCUUCCUCUUCUUCCUCUAGUUACGACAAUUGCAAAAGAAAGAAAACAUGAACACUCCUUCUAGAUACAAGCAAUGGCCGAACUUCUUCAAAACUUUUUCUCCCUUUCUUUUUCUUGGUUUUUCGGCUAGGAGAUGGCAAGUAUGAACACCCCUUUUUCUUUUUCUUUUUUUUUUGUUCACUUCCCUAUUAUUAUUCCCAUCAUUUGUUAACCAAAAAAACAUAUUAAAUUAGAAUGAGUGGAGCAUCAUCACUCCUUGGCCGGCCACCAUGUAUUUUAUGGGUUAUUUGACAUGCAAAGCCAUGCUUCCUCUCCCUAUUAUUAAUUACUCCUUAUAAUUCAUCUAUCAUCUUUUCUAACUUCGUCAACUAGGUCCUUUUCGAAUUAAUUUACAUUCCUAAAGCUAAUAUUAAGCAUUUAAUUUCUCAUAUAUUCACUGUCACACAAAAAUUUAUGUAAUUAAAACACAAAAAUAAAUUUUUGGCUCGGUAAUGUGGUCUCGAAACCACAUUCCGACCAGGGUCUAAUUUGGGUUGUCACAAUGUGUACAAUCGAGCUAGGUCACAUGAGUGGUUCUAAGUGAAGGCCACUAUGUGUACAAGAGAGCUUCGAUUUUAAAGGUGGGCUGUGUGCGAUACCAUUGCGUAUCUGUUAUUAUUCCGAAGCGUUCAACUGGGAAAUUGAUUAAAUGAAAUUGUGUAUGACUUUGUGAUGAUAAGUGUAGGUAUAUACAUGUGUAACUUAUGAGCAAUAUGCUCGAUAUGUGAUUGGAAAUUGGAAAGAUUGUUAUGGGAAAGUGAUGAAUACAAUUGAAGUGUGAAAGAUCAAAAUUAACAAUAAAACUAUUCUGGAUAGUUGCAGUGACGUGAAUCUAAAAAUUUACCAAAAUUAGUAGAAAUUGAAUCAGAGUCUGAAUGAGAUAUCAAAUUAGAGCUUAAUGAGUCUAUUUUCAUAUAACAGAAACAGAGCAAGAAAAGGAAUUCUAUACUAUGAGAUAUUUAAGUUUUUGUGAGACUGGUUCAGAAUGACUACUUGAUCCCUUGUUCUGACUUGGAAAAAUCAUUAAAAAUUGUAAAAAAAUAAUUAUGGGAUAUAAUUUAUAUUAUUGAAAUCCUUAAUGAGUCUAGUUUCAAAUUAAAUAAACUAUAACAUCCUUUGAAUUUUGUACAAUGAUAAAAUUGAUUUGUAGUGAAGAGUGGUCAGAACAGUUGAGCAGUGAAAUAAGGGUAACUUCAAUGAAUAAACUGUACUAAUUGGCUAGACCAAAAAUUUUGAAAAUUUUAUGGUAAGAAUAUAUGUGAAUCUAGUUUCGAUAAAGAUUAACGGUUUGUAAUUUGGAGUUCUGUAGCUCCAGAAAUAAAUAAUUUAGUUGCUGGUACUCUGCUAGACAGCUUAUUUUGAACCUGUUUGUGAUUGUAAUAGUGAAAGUAUGUGUGUUUGUGAUGGUAAUAUUCCGGGAACAUAUUGUGACUUUGUUUAAAGCAUGAUAAUGUAUUGCUUAUUAAUAUUUACAUACAUACUUACUAAGCUAUAAUGCUUACUCCCUUCCUUUCCUUUUUCCUAAAGUGUCACAGAUGUUAGCUCGAGUUGGAGGUCACUGGAGUUUAAAUCACACUAUCAAACUAUUGAUCGAUAUAUAAAGGCUUUAAAGUAUUUUAAGUCUUUGGAAUGUAUGGAGACUCGUUUAAUUGUUAUUAAGUUGCUAGGAAUUGGCUUAAAAUACUGACCUAUGUUAUUUGAAGGUCUCUAUUGUAUAAAGUCAUUUAAUGUAGAUAGUCUUGAUUAUGUUAUUAAUUAUGAAUCAGUUUUUAUACGAUGAUUAGUGAUUAAGUCCGGUAAUGCCUCGUACGUUGUUCCGGCAUCAAACAUGGGUAAAAGGUGUUACACCUUCAACCUUGGGAAACACUGACUUAUCAACACAGCCAUGGAACACGCCCGUGCUGCCUGCCCGUGGACGACACUGUCAUUUUAACACGGCCAUGGCGCACGCUUGUGUGGCUUACCCGUAUACGACUUUGAGCUAAAAUUUUGAGUGCAGGGGACACACGGCCAUAGCACACGCCCAUGGGAGAAAAACGUGUGUCACACAUGGCCUAGACACACACCCGUGUCCAACCAUGUGGACUCUAAUAGGCUAUUUUCCAAGCCUUUAGUCACCCUUUUCUACUACUUGUGCCUAGUUGUUACUAAGUUUGAGAGAAAACAUAAUUUUACGCUUAUAAAUAAUCUUAAUGAAAAUAGUUAUGGAAACCUCAUAUCAUUGGUUUCAUACAUAAAUGGUUAUUUCCUCUUUAGUGUCAUGGGUUCCCAUGUUACAUUAAUCCUUCCGAAAUUGGCUCAUUCAUGUGGCUCAUUGCCAAUUUAUAGCAACCCAUCAUUAGUAAUUAAAACCAUGCAUAAAAUCAUAGGUCAUAGCCUACUCAAAUUAAGCCAAUUUUCAUGGCCGUAUACAAAGAAAUAAACAUAUUUUUACAUGCCUUAACUAGGCAAAUCAAAUGACACAUAUAAUAAAAUACUCAAAAAUACUAUGCAUGCCAUUUAACAAAAUAAACAGAGUCUUUAUACCAAAGCUUGUUUAGUUGAUAGUGUGUUGACUCUCCAAUUGUCCUCCAAUCCUUUCGAGUCCUUGAGCUCUAUGAGACAGGGAAAAAGAGAGGGGUAAGCAUUUACAUGCUUAGUAAGCUCGAAUAACCGAAAAGUAAACUUACCGAGUAAUUAGCAUACAUCCAUACUUAAUUCAUGAAAUCAUCCAUUAUGAAAUGAUUUCCUAUCACAUGCACUCAAUUAAUGAGUUUGUCACAUAAUCAUGUAAUUUAACUAGAGGAGCUCAUCAUCAUUCAACAUUUCAUUCACAUAUAUAUAUCCCAUGUUAAUCUCAUUGAGUUUCUAGGAAAUCUCGAUGGAAUACCCAUUAUCCGUCAAUUCUUACUAAUGAUCAUUUCACAUAUAUGUACUCCCGCGAACCUCACAUCAUAUGACGGGAUUACCAGUCCAGGCUAAAUCCCCUAUUAUAUGAACUCGUAAGGUGAUGUCGGGAUUACCAGUCCAGGCUAAAUCCUUUAUAGCGACAAACACCCUUAAUGAGUUUGGAUCUGAAUUACCAGUCCAGGCUAAAUUCAGACCCAAUUCAGAUUACCCGUCCGGGCUAAAUCCAAUGCACAUAUAUUCUUCGGGAGGCUCGAUCAUUCAAGGAACACCCGUCCGGGCUAGAUUCCUUUCCAUAUUUGAGAUCACGGAUUACCCGUCCGGGCUAAAUCCUUACUGCAACACAUGCAAGAUCUCAAUUGACAUGUAAAACAUGGUUUAUCCGUCGAAUUCCCUUUUUAACCUCAACCGAGACAGUUAUCAACAAGUCAUUACCAAAGGUGCAUUUCAUGCAUUUUCAUACCAUCAAUAAAUGAAAAUAUCAUGCAUUCAUAAGUCAUACAAUUAUGUAUAUUAGGGGUUUACUUUAAGUUAUCAGAACUUACUUGGUAUUCUUUUCGAGAUUGUGUUUCGGUUAUUCCGAAACCUUGCGUUUACCACGAUUGACCUCAGGAAUUUAUUCCUCGGGGUCUAUAAUAGCAAAAUUAACUCAUUGAUACCCCACAUUAUACAUUUCAAUUUUAAUAUCUACUCUCGGUUCAAAUGACUGUUUUGCCCUUAACCUUUAAUAUUUUUACGAUUUAGUCCCUAGGCUCGUAUAGUGAAACACAUGCAAUUUCUAUCUCACCCAAGCCUAGUCGAACAUUUUUCUCUCUUAUGGUAGCCCACAUUAUCCAUUAUUUUCUCAUUUCUACCACACAUUUACAUCUUUUGCAAAAUGGUCCUUAUAAGGGUUUCUCAUGAAAAUCAAUUAGAAAAAGAUGUUUAACACACAUUAAUCUUUCAUAUUCCUCCAUAGUCCAUCAAAACACAAUUAACUCAUGCAUGGGUAAAUUUUUAAACAUGAACCCUAGUAUGAAAUAUCGGUAGAAAUGGAGAGAUCAAGUUACCGGGAUUUCAAAAAUACCAAAAACAUGAAAAACAGAGCUUGGGAGCACUUACUAUUGAGCUUGAAAAUCGAAGAAACCCUAGCUAUGGUGUCCUACAAAUUUCGGCAGCUAUGGGAAGAAGAUAAGCAUAUUUUUGCUCCAUUUUUCUCUUUUUAUUUCAUUAAAAUGCCUAAUGACCAAAAUGCCCUUAUGCCCUUUUCUUUAAAAUUUCAUCCAUGCAAGCCCAUUUUUGUCCAAAAAUUUAGAAAUUGGGCAAAUUGCUCUCCAAGACCUUCUAAUUCAUAAUCUAAAGCAAUUUCAUACAAAUUUCUUCUAGAAACCAAGUUUUGCAAUUUAAUCAAUUUAGUCCCUAAUUUCCAAUUGGACAUCUUAUACUUAGAAUUUCUUCAUGAAACUUUAACACAUACAUAUACUCAUAUUCUAGGCCUCAUAAUAACCAUAAAAUAAAUAUUUUGAUGUCGGAUUUGUGGUCUCGAAACCACUAUUCUGACUAGGCCCUAUUUUGGGAUGUUACACUUUGUGAAUUAGAACACACAUUUUACGACUUUUGCAAUUUAGUCCUAAAUAUCAAAUUAGACCCUCUAUCGAUAAAAUUUCUAAAUAAAAUUUUCACACAAUCAUGCAAUCAUGCCAUAGACCUUAAAAUGGAAAUAAAAUAAAUUUUUAUACCUCGAAUUUGUAGUUUCGCAACCACUAUUCCGUUUAGGACCUAUUUCGGGAUGUUACAAUACUAUAUGGAGAUUAUAGUAUAUGGUCUAUUUUCUAUGAACCACAACCUUGAAAAAAUAUAAUAAUUAUAUAACAAAUAUAUAAUAUUGCAUUCAUUCACAUUCAUUCCCUUAAACAUGCGAAUAACUACAAGAAUGUAACAUCUUAUCAAAAAUUAAUCAAAUAAGAUGAAGAGAGAGAUUCGGUCUCAUUUUACACCAUAAACAUAGCACAACCUGACUCUUGAUACCAAUUGUUGGAAAAAUAUCUAGUUUGAAAAUGGAAUUUGUAACACCACUUACCCGCAUUCAAUGCCAAAAUAGAGUACGAGGCAUUACCAAACUUCUCACACGAACAACCAUACAAUCCUGAGUCAUGAAUUUACGUCCAAAUUAAAACCAUUUGCAUUUAAUCAUACAGUCCCUAAUACGAGCCUACGAGGCUCAAAAUGGGCAUUGGAAGUGAUUUGGGACUAAACUGAGAACCUUAGAAAAAUUUUACAAAACUUAAAAAAUUUUCCACUAAAUAGGGGUCACACGCCCGUGUGGAUAUGGGACACGCCUGUGUGGGCAGGCCGUGUGGUCACACAUGCCCGUGUCCUGACCCCGUGUAACUCACUGACUUGUAACUCAUGAACAAAUUGAGAUUACAUGGCCGAGUCACACGCCCGUGUGCUAAGCUAUGUAGAAAAUUAAUUUUCAUAAAAUAGGUGCAGACUUCACACGGCCAGGGCACACGCCCGUGUUUGAGGACAUGCCGUACACACGGCUGAGACAAAUGCUCGUGUCUCUGCCUGUAUGCUCAAUUUUGAGCAUUCUGUUUCUCAAAAUGAAGGUGCAGGGGACACACGGCCAGAUCACACGCCCAUGGGGCAGACCAUGUGUCACACACAGCCUAAACACAUGCAUGUGUGUCUACCCAUAUGGACAAAAACAAGGCUAUUUACCAAGCCAUUUUGCCACCCUUUAAUGUAUACACUCACACAACAUAACAUAGCACCAAUCCAAGCAUAUAUAUACAACCAAACAUCCACAACCAAGACAUCAACACAUCAUUUAUGAAAGGCAUCAUUAUAUAAAUAUACUUAUAACCAAUAUUGGCUCAUUUCCAUUGGCCUUAUACAAGAUGAACUUCUAACCAAUAUAAGCCAACAUAUUUGGCCAAAUCAAUUAUGACACAUAACAAAAUGACCAAGUCCCCUAUACAUGCCAUAACUCAAAAUGUUGAAUUCCUUAAUACCAAAAUAUUUGUUGAUAGUGUGAAUGGAUCUCCAAUGAUCUUUGAACCCGAGCUAGCUUGGUGUUACUAUAAGACAAGGGACAAAAAGGGGAGUAAGCUAUAUAGCUUAGUAAGUUCAUAUGCAAAUAAUAUGCAUUUUAACAAUACCUUAAUCAUGCAAUUUAUAUAAAGUGAGAUAACCUAAAUGUUACUAAAAUCUCAUAGUUAUAACUUGCUCAAUCACAACCUUAGCAAUAGUUUAUCACCCAUCGAGUUUAUUACUUAUGAGUUCUAUGUACAUGCCUAUACCAAUUCAUAAAAUAACCACAUCUUUUCACAUCUUUGACAUUCCCGUUGAACACUUGGAAUAUUAUCGGAUACUCGAAAAAUCUUGCAUGUAAGUGCCAUAUAUGUAGUCAAAGCUACCUCAUAUCUCAUGACACAUAUAGGCUCGCUCUCAAGCUAUUCACGGGCCUGCUCACACAAGCUGUCAGUUAGGACGUAACUACAUAAUGCUGUUCACACAAGCUGUUAGAUAACUGCAACAUAUGCUGGAAUACCCAGCUACUGGUAGCACGUACAAGACCAGCACCCAGAUCAUAUAAACAAAUAUACACAUGGGGUUCCUAGUGACAUGUCACUUGUAUCCUAUGCUAUUCCUAAGGUUCAACCGGGAUUUCUUGCUUGUCGAAACUUUGUCGAAUAAGUCCAUAGUCAAUCACACAAUUCAUGCAAUAAUAAAGCAUUUAAAACAUAAAGAUAUCAUUGCAUUAUUUACAUACGAACUUAUCUCGGUGCAAAAAUCGUAGAAUUGGACCUAAUAGUCAAACAUUUUGUUUUUCCCCCGAUCUAGGUCCGAACAUUGUUUUUCUUGAUCUAUAAUAACAAAUUUAACUCAUUUAAUACUCACAUUAUUCAAUUUAGCCCAAAAAUCAUAUUAUGGAAAAAUUAUAUUUUUGCCCCUAAUGUUUCACAUUUUUUCAAUUUAGUUCCUAGGCUCGUAAAAUGAACAUGCAUUUUCUACCAUUAGACAUAAAAAUACACAAAUAUAUAACAUUGGUAAAAUUUUAAACUUCAUCUUUCUUUCAAAUUGGUCCUUGAAAUAGCUAGAUUAGGUUACAAGGAUCUCAAAAACAUGAAAAUCUUUAAAAACAGUCCGGAACGGACUUACAAUCGAGCUUGAAAGCUUGGAAAACCCUAGCUAUGUUUUCUCUUGUGAUUUUCGGCCAUGAGAGGAUGAAAUUGAGAAGAUGACAUCUUUUAUUUGUUAAAUUUUGUCUUUAUUAGCUAAAUGAGCAAAAUGCCCUUAAUGCCAAACUUUGAAAUUUCACCCUACCAUGUCCAUUUUUGUCCAACUUAAAGUAAAAUAGUCUAAUUACCAUUUAAGGACCUCCAAUUUAAAAUUUUAUAUCAAUUAGACACCUCUAGCUUUUAGAACAUACAUUUUACAUAUAUUACAAUUUAGUCCUCUUAGUCGAUAUGGACACCUUAUCGAUAAAAUUUCUUAACGAAAUUUUCACACACUUAUUCAAUCAUACUGUAGACCUUAAAAAAAUAUCACAAUAAAUAUUUCUACUUCGGAUUCAUGGUCCCAAAACCACUGUUCUGAUUUGACCUUAAAACAGGCUAUUACAAUAUUCUUGCACAAUGAAAGAUCACAUGCUUUUCUUUUUUGUUUUCUUUUGAUUUAUUAAUUAAUUUACUAUUUUAACCUUUAAAAAAACUAAAAGUUCAUAAUUAAAACCCACUAACAGUCCACCAUAAUCUAAAUAGGUCUAAUUACUAUAUAAAUCUCUUAAUUCAUGAUUUUAUAUCUAUUUAAUACAAAUAAACCUAUAGUGCUUAACUUUUGUAGCUUUUACGAUUUAGUCUUUUUUUUACUUUAUUAAGUAACAAAAACUCAAAACUUUUCAAUCAAACUUUAUUACGACACAUUAAUAGACUCAUAAAUAUUAAAUAAAUAAUAUAAUACUAACUCACUGAUCGAAAUUGUGAUCUCGAAACCAUUAUUUUUUAUACCACUGAAAAACGGGUUGUUACAGAUUGGUAACAAAAUAAAAUUGUCAGAUAAUGUUUCUAUUUUUCUAUUUUCAUAAAAUAAAUAAAAAAAUUAAACAUUUCUUCAUCACAAGGCAUUGCUUAUAUCUUUGACCGUCAUCGCUCCAUCUUCUCCUCAUCAUGAACUUCUUUUUGGAAAAAUUACAUUUCUGUCCUACGUCUGUUUCUAGCUCACAAGAAUUCAAAAAAUAAAAAAUAAUACUAUGUGGAGAUUAUAGUAUACGGUCCAUUUCCUACGAACCACAACCUUGAUAAAAAGAUAAUAAUUAUAUAAAAAAGAUAUAAUAUUACAUUCAUUCACAUACAUUCCCUUAAACAUGCGAAUAACUACAAGAAUGUAACAUAUUAUCAAAUAUUAAUCAAAUAAGAUGAAAAGAGAGAUUCGAUCUCGUUUUACACCAUAAACAUAGCACAACCUGACUCUUGAUACCAAUUGUUGGAAAAAUAUCCGGUUCGAAAACGAUAUUCUGGCACAGUAGAAGACCACAUACUUUUCUAUUUUUUUUCUUUUGAUUUAUUAAUUAAUUUACUAUUUAAACAUUUAAAAACAACUAAAAUUUCAUAAUUAAAACCCACUAAUCGUCCACCAUAAUCUAAAUAGGUCCAAUUACUAUAUAAAUCUCUUAAUUCAUGAUUUUAUAUCUAUUUAAUACAAAUAAACUUGUAGUACUUAACUUUUGCAGCUUUUACGAUUUCAUCCUUUUUACUUAAUUAAAUAACCAAAAAUCAAAAUUUUUUAAACCAAACUUUAUUAAGACACUUUAGUAUACUCAUAAAUAUUAAAUAAAUAAUAUAAUACUAACUCACUGAUCGAAAUCGUGGUCCCCAAAACCAUUGUUUUUGAUACCAGUGAAAAAGGGUUGUUAUAGAUGGGUAACAAAAUAAAAUUGUCAACCAAUGUCUAUUCUUCUCUUUUUAUAAAAUAAAUGAAAAACAAAAAUUACGCAGUUUUUCAUCACAAGGCAUUCCUUGUAUCUUUGACUGUCAUUGCUCCAUCUUCUCCUCAUUAUGGACUCCUAUUUGGAAAAAUUACAUUUAUGUCCUACGUCUGUUUCUAGCUCACAAGAAUUCAAAAAAUAAAAAAUAAUCCUAUACGGAGAUGAUAGUAUAUGGUCUAUUUCCUAAGAAACACAAACUUGGAAAAAGAAAAAAAAAUUAUAUAACAAACAUAUAAUAUUGCAUUCAUUCACAUACAUUCCUUUAAACAUGCAAUAACUACAAGAAUAUCACAUCUUAUCAAAUAUUAAUCAAAUAAAAUGAAGAGAGAGGUCCAGUCUCAUUUUACACCAUAAAUAUAGCACAACCUGAUUCUUGAUACCAAUUGUUGGAAAAAUAUCCGGUUUGAAAAUAGUAUUCUUGCAUAGCAGAUGACCACAUGCUUUUCUUUUUUGUUUUCUUUUGAUUUAUUAAUUAAUUUACUCUUUAACCUUUAAAAACAACUAAAAUUUCAUAAUUAAAACCCACUAACAAUCCACCAUAAUCUAAAUAGGUCUAAUUACUAUAUAAAUCCCUUAAUUCAUGAUUUUAUAUCUAUUUAAUACAAAUAAACCUAUAGUGCUUAACUUUUGCAGCUUUUAUGAUUUAGACCUUUUACUUAAUUAAGCAACCAAACAUCAAAAUUUUUAAACCAAAGUUUUUUACGACACUAUAAUAGACUCAUAAAUAUUAAAUAAAUAGCAUAGUACUGACUCAUUGAUCGAAAUCAUGGUCCCAAAAUCACUAUUUUUGAUACCACUGAAAACGGGUUGUUACAAAUGGGUAACUAAAUAAAAUUGUCAGCCAAUGUCUCUAUCGUUCUAUUUUUAGAAAAUAAAUGAAAAAUAAAAAAUUACAUAGUUUUUCAUCAUAAGGCAUUCCUUGUGUCUUCGACUGUCAUCGCUCCAUCUUUUCCUCAUUAUGGGCUCCCUUUUGGAAAAAUUACAUUUAUGUCCUACGUCCGUUUCUAGCUCACAAGAAUUCCAAAAAUAAAAAAUAAUUCUAUGUGGAGAUGAUAGUAUACGGUUUAUUUCCUAAGAACCACAACCUUGGCAAAAAAUUAAUUAUUAUAUAACAAAUAUAUAAUAUUGCAUUCAUUCACAUACAUUCCCUUAAGCAUGCAAAUAACUACAAAAAUGUCACAUCUUGUCAAAUAUUAAUCAAACAAGAUGAAGAGAAAGAUUCAGUCUCGUUUUACACCAUAAACAUAGCACAACCUGACUUUUGAUACCAAUUAUUGGAAAAAUAUUCAAUUUGAAAAUAGUAUUCUUGCACAGCCGAUGACCAUAUGCUUUUUUUGUUUUGUUUUGUUUUGUUUUGAUUCAUUAAUUAAUUUACUAUUUUAACCUUUAAAAACAAUUAAAAUUUCAUAAUUAAAAGCCACUAACCAUCCACCAUAAUCUAAAUAGUUCUAAUUACUUAUAAAUCCCUUAAUUCAUGAUUUUAUAUCUAUUUAAUACAAAUAAAUCUAUAGUGCUUAACUUUUGCAACUUUUACGAUUUAGUUCUUUUUACUUAAUUAAGCAACCAAACAUCAAAAUAUUAAUUACUGACUCAUAAAUAUUAAAUAAAUAAUAUAAUACUGACUCACUGAUUGAAAUUGUGGUCUAAAACUACAGUUUUUGAUACCACUGAAAACGGGUUGUUACAGAUGGGUAAUAAAAUAAAAUUGUCAGCCAAGUUUUCUAUGAUUCAAUUUCUAGAAAAUAAAUGAAAAAAAUUACAUAGUUUUUCAUCACAAGGCAUUCCUUGUGUUUUCAAUCGUCAUCCCUCCAUCUUCUCCUCGUAAUGGAUUCUUUUUUGGAAAAAUUAUAUAUAUUUCCUAUGUUCAUUUCUGAUGUAAAAGAAUUCUAAAAAUUAUCCUAUAUGGAGAUGAUAGUCUAUGGUCUAUUUCCUAAGAACCAAAAAUCGUCCUAUAUCCCUAAUUAAAUUUAAAAUCUGCGUAAAACCCAAAUUAAAAAAAAACGGCCUAUAGGCCUUAUUUUGCCUACCAACCCAAAAUGAAUAAUAUUAGUUAGUCAGAACACUUUUUAAUAAUUUUUAUAAUUUUUUUUAUUUUUUAAAUAAUUUUUACGUUUUAAAAAAAUUACAAUUUUUAUAUUUUUUUACAUAUUAUUAAUGUUUUAGUAUUUUUACAUUUUUUUAGUUUUUUCAAUUUUUUAAUAUUUUUAAAGGAGUACGUGGUUUUGGUAAUUUGGAAAAAUUUAACUUUAAGGAAAGAGAAGUGUAAAUCAAUGGUAAAAUUUAACGAUUAAGUUUGGGUUCAAAAAAUAAGGUCAUGGAGGAUUCUCUCUCGACUCCAACAUCGACAGAAGAUGUCCCACGUACUUUGAGGAAAUUCAAGCAAACUCAUACGGUUUCUUAUGAUUAAGAGGAUUUGGUUGAGGCUUGUAAAGAUGGGAUAGUUGACAGUCAAAGUAGUCUCUAAUCUCAAAAUGCAUUGUAUAGAGAUCAUUUGGUUGGGUUUAAUCCAUCCCAACAACAGACUUGACAGGAUUAGGAUGUUGAUGGUGUUGAUGGUGAUGUUUGUUUUAAUGAUUUCGUUUCAAACUCAGAGGAAGCAGUUGUUUCUGGUGCUCGUGUGAUCUUUUCAGUGGAGGAAAAAUAGGAGAUGCGCAAGCCUUAGUGCACUACCUUGAAAGUAAAACUCUUGCGAAAAAUCUUAAUAUUCAAAGGUCUCUAUUCCAAAGUGCAACAACUUUGGCAUUUGGAGGGGAAUUACAAUAUCAUUAAUUUGGGUAAAUGACUAUUUCUUAUUCAAGUUUCAAUUGAAAUUAGAUUAUAAUUGUAUCUUGAAAGGAGGUCCUUGGAUCAUUGGUGGACACUACCUUACUAUUUGUUAGUGGUUUCAAAAUUUUUAGCCAAGUUGUGAUAAGAUUGAGUCUCUGUUGCUUGGGUUCAUUUUUCGAAAUUACCUCUGGAAUAUUAUACAUUUAUGGCAAUUCAGAGGAUUGCUUUUUGUGUGGGGAGGAUAAUUCGCAUUGAUUGGAAUACGAAAGAUAUUCAAAGAGGGGGAUUUGCAAGGGUUUGUAUUGAUUUAAAUUUAAACAAACCAUUGUGUUCCUCUAUUAGUCUUGGCAAGGUUUGUCAACGUGUUGAAUAUGGGGGGCUACAAUUGAUUUGUUUUCAAUGUGGUAAGUUUGGUCAUAGGAAAGACUAAUGUCCCAUGUCCACUUCUGUUGCUUCUGGCACUAAUAAGGUUCCUUUUUAUUUGCCUCAUGUUGCAUCAGAUAUGCCUUCAAAAAUGCCAUUAUAGCCGACGGAAGUGUCCUUUGGAUCUUAGAUGCUAGUGCAACGCAAAACACGGAAACUAGUGAAAAACCAAGUUUCAAAUGGCAAGUCUUCGAUUGGGAGUGAGUUUUGGCAUGACAUGGGGAGAUUCUCUACCUUGACUCAUGUGAUUGAUGAUUCUGGUAAUAACGAUAAGACUAAAUUUGGGGCUACAUUGAAGGAUUUUGUUAAGCAGAAUAAAAAUGGUUUUAAGGCUUGGAUGAAAAACGACUGGAAACUGAGGAAAGAUGGGGGGAUUAAAAUCCACUCUAGAAAACAUGAGGGUCAACUAAAGAAACAAAGAGAAAAUUUGACUAGUAAGUCUAAGGAUGUUAUGUUUGAUUCAACUCCUUUGACAAGUCCUUCUCUGGGCUUUCAUUUUAAAGCGAGCUCUUCCAACCAGAUUGUUCUAGACCCAGCAUAUUUAGGCUCUUUAAUUGCAACCUUUUGGUGCUAAUAUCAGUGAUAAGGCUCCUUCAAAUCCUAUAGUCAAUUCAAAUCAUGUUCCUUCUCCUUUGAAGGAUGUUGGUAAACUGGCCUUGUUUAUUGUAUCAAAGGAUAUGGCUACUGUAACACCCAAAAAUAGGGCCUAGGAGUUUUAGGGAUUUAUAAAAAUGAGUUUUAAAUUCCUUUAAUUUAGAAUAUAAGAUUGAUUUGUAAAAGAGUCAAAAUUGUGGGUCUUUAUGAAGCAAUUAAACCAAAUUUUAAAAACCAACCUGUUUCUUCCUUCCCACCUACAAUUUUUCACAUCAACUUUUCUUCAAAACUUGUGUUUGUCGUCUCUUGAUUCUCCCUUGCUAUUUUAAUCAAUUUUGAACUCCAGUUCCUAAUCCUCUUUGAUAUCUAUCAUCCUUGAACAUUAAACAUCUGUAAAAGACCAAGAAAAAACACCCACAAAAAAUGCCAUAGUUCCUUCAUUGUUAAGCUUUCAGGUUUUUCAAGUUUUUGAUCAAACAAUCAUUUUUUCGUCAACUAAGGUAACGAUUCAU